This 78768-nucleotide long non-coding RNA is filed under the name Brachypodium distachyon (stiff brome). RNAcentral describes it as "long non-coding RNA (BDIS_LNC002131)". Lineage: Eukaryota; Viridiplantae; Streptophyta; Magnoliopsida; Poales; Poaceae. The record is from RNAcentral.
CAGCCCCUUCCCGAGAUCCACUACUACUCCUCCUCCAUACCGCCUCUGCCGGCAGCGGGCUGCACGAAUCAUCUCCAUCAACACCUGCUGCUCCCCCACGCACCGAAGAAAUCAAGAACCAAGGAACGCGAGCACGACGACCACCUGCAACAUCCUCCCCUUCUCCAAGUGCUGCUGCCCUCUCCUUUGGUUAAAUCCCCACCGAACUCUCUCUCUCUCUCUCCUACUUGUUGCUUGCUGUUUGUGUGUACAAGAACUGAGAAAGAACAUGCUGUUGAUCUUUGGAAAGUUAGCUGAGCCUUGCACUGUGUUAAACUCUCUCUUUAGCUUCUGGCCGAUGUGUGCACUUAAUUAUUGUUCUAUGUUAUAAUCUACUCUGAUAUUUGUGAAUGUGGCUGUGUGUAUACUUGUUGAUGUGUUUCGUGCAAUUUUCUAUCCCUAUCUAAAAACUUGCUUCUUCCCAGUCUUAUAUGUUUGCUGGUGAAAUUACUUUCUGUCAAUAUUGUUCUUUGUCUUUGCUUCUGCCCCUGUCUUUGAUGUAUGCUUGUCUUAGUGUUUUAGAUUCUAAAGUAAAUUGAAAAUACCAAAAAAAUAUUGCAGUCAUUCUGUACCUUGAAUCUCAUAAUUGUUUCUAUCCUUAUCUUGGAUAAUUGCUUGUGAUGUUUCGUGGUAGAUGAUCUUGUCUUGCUUUAUAGUGGGAAAUCUUCUCUUUGUUUGUUUUAAAUGCCAAAAUCCUUUCUUGUGAUCUAGCUUUAACCGAACAUUGUUGUCGCUGCCUAGUGCCUGUGGAGAAUCUCAACAAAAACUACUAUAUUUGCAUUGAUCAAAUUGGCGCCGUUGCCGGGGACUAGCAGCGAGCGAUUGUGUUAGGUUAUAGACUAGGUGUUUUUCCCCUUGUUUAGUAACCCCUAUUCUAGGUGUUUCUCUGUUUUCUAUUUGUUUCUUGUCAUAUUUAACAGGUUAUAUUAUCAUCUUGGUCAUGUCAUACUAUUCAGAUUAUUAUGGAUAUGCGAGCAGUAGCGGCAACAACAUAACAAGUCUUCAAGAUAAGAUAAAUGAGUUGUCUGGUCAGAAGCAAAUGUUAUCAAGUAAAAUAGAACAACACAAUUUGCAGCAAGGAAAUGGUCUUCAGGGAGGCCCUGCUAUUUUGAUCCUUAUUCUGUAGGCCAUCCCCAUACUUAUGUUGCUCCUGAAUGUCAUAUUUGUGGAUAUCAAGGUCAUAUUCCCGUCGAGUGUCAGCUGGGUAAAUCUUUCACCCCAAAUUGUUAUGAUAUGGGUUUUACUCCACAGCAUGAUCUGUACCACAACAAUUACCCCCUAGUGGGCUUGAUAACCCAAAUAUUACAUUUAGGAACAGCAGCCCUGAGGACUCAUCUUUUUCUUCUAGCUAUCCUAUGCAGGGAUUUAGGAAUGAAGAGGCGAAGUCACAAGCUCAGUUAAAUUUUGAAGCAGAACAACAAGCUUGGUUUGAAGAUUUUAUGAAGACGCAGCAAGAGAAGAUGGUUCAUCCACAAUCAGCUAUACUUUCAGAUGUAGAUCAAGAACAUGUGAUUUCAGAAAAUGAAGAAAAAGUUGCUCAGAUUUGGGAAGAAGAGAGAUCCGAGAUUAAAGAAGAUGAUGCACUAGAAGACAAGACACACAAUGAGCAAGAGCUGGACUAUGGAAGUAGCAAAGAUAUAGUGGCUGCCAAUCUUGAAGAUAUUGAAGAUAAAGAGGCUAAUGGAGUGGAAAAUGAAGAUAAUGAGGAGAUUCAAGUCGACAUGUCAAUUAUCAUUCAGGAGUGUGAUGAAACAGGUUUAUCAAACCCAAUUAAUGACAUUCUUCCUUAUGAAUUCCCUGCUACUACCUUGCAUUGCUUGAUACCAUCACUUAAGGUAGAACUGAAUUGUGACUUUCUUAAAUUUGAUGAUGCAUACUUUGUUAGUGACAAUACUGAAAUUCAUGAUGAUGACUCAUGUUAAUCACAUGCUAAAAUUCUGCUUAUGGAUGCAUGCUCUAAGAUUACUCGCGUCUCACAUGUGAAUAUUUAUCAUUCUCACCUUGUGCUUUAUUGCUACGCUUACAUCAUUGGUUUUUCAAUUGAUGACUUAGAGGGUGUUGGUCCUUUGACCUCUCCUAGGUGCUAUUCAUAUGAUAUAACUGAGUUUAAUGUGAUAUAUCAUCAUCGCCAUGUUUUUUAUCGAUAUGUGUAUACCAUUGGAUACUCCAUUGAUAAUUUGGAGGGGGUUGACCCUGUCUCUUUUAGUUCUUGUUGUGAGUGUAUUUCAGGCAUAUCAUAGGUGCUUUGUCAGCUUGGAAAAGUCCAGAUUCGAGUUGACAUUCCUUGGGACCCUGGUGGAUAUGAGGUUUUGAGAUGGUGUAGCAAAGAGAGUUGUAUCACACUUGAAAUAAAAUGCUGAAGCAGAUGGGAUCGAGGGAAUCAAGAAGAGUUGUCGAAUUCAGAAGAUGAGUGGCUUGGUCUGAAGGGAAGGUGUAGUCUGAUAAAAAUAUAGUUCAAAUCAUCUAAAACACCAGGUGACUUGUUUCCAGUAUAUGAGAUCAUGUUUCUUCCAUUGCCUGCAACUUUUCUCAAACUGAUCACUGCUAUUCGUUAUUGGUCACAUCAUUGCUUUCUUGUUGAAGCUGUUCUUCUUUGAGAAUCACAUAACAUUGCUUUAACUUGUUGUUUUCUUACCGAAAAAAAAAGCUGCAUUAAUUUUUUUUGUGAUUGCUAUACUCCAGGAUCUUCAUAAUGAAAAGAUACAUCAACUUUCAGUUUAAACACAACAGCUAUUGGUGCAUGUUCUUAUUGCAGUAAUCUAAAGUAUACUUCAGAUUUGUUUUAUUUUCUGCUCUCAUUCCUAAUAAAUUAAGAUUCUGACAAAUCUGAAUGUCUCCUUAUGCUAGUUAGUCCUGUAUCGACUCAAUUGAUUAGUUGCUAAGUAGUAGCUAUGAUCCCGGGAUCUGUAGCUUGUGAAAACAGUGCUAUUGAUCAUAGGUUUCUUUACAAAAUCUUUUAUCCUGUUGCAAUUUGAGCUUUCAAUAAGUGGCUUGUCCACAAGUCUUUAAAUCUCUGAAUAAGUGGCUCAGCCACAGUGUUAUCCUUGCAAAUAAGUGACUAUGUCACAAUUUGUUUCAAUAAGUGGCAGUCCACAUUGCCUUGCUCUGUUUGAAUAAGUGACUCUGUCACAUCUUUAGUUUGGAAUAAGUGGUGCAAGCACCACAAUUUAUUGCAUUUCUUGUUUCGUUUUUAUUUUUGAAAAACCAUGAACCGUGACUCGUUACUGGACUGCUGUCAUAGUUUGAAUUCAGUUUGCAAAAUCUUCUUUAUUAGUUAGGGGAGCCUAAAAUAGUUUAAAUCUUCAGUAUACUUUGAGUACAAUAAUCAGAACAUACAGCUUUACCUGUUAAGUUUAAACUGAAGUUUCUUGGGUCCUUUUUAUUGUGACGGAAAUCCUAGUUGGAGUGAUUACAUACCUCGUUUCAUGCUGUUGUCUCAUUUGCGAUCUGUUUCCUCAUUUGCAUAUCUCUUUGCUUGAGGACAAGCAAAAGUUUAAGUGUGGGGGUGUGAUAAGCAUCAUAUUUGCACUAUUUUCUGGCCAUAAUUAUAUCUGAAAUCUUGUGUUUUGAACUCUGAAUUAUUCUAAAAUGCCAAGAAUUUAUACAAAUACUUGUAAUAUGUGGCAAAAAUUACAUUGUAGCUUUUCUUUUGCAGUUAAGUGCGAAAAGGCACAUACUCUUCUCAUUUUGGACGAGCUGCUGAUGCACCUAUACACCGAAGGACUUGAGCAUAAGGAAAGAGGAAAGAAAGGGCUGAAGUGAAGAAAAAAAAGACCAACUUGCAAAAGAAGAAGAAAGGAGAAGGGCCUGGAUGUAAAAAUGUCAAAGGGAUUAAACCCUAACUCCUGCUCUCGAUCCCCUUGAGCCUGGCACUUCCCCUUUCCCCUAUCUCCUGCUGCACCACCGGCCGCCGCCGCAGCCAGGCUAGCGUGGCGGUGCACCACCGAGCUAGCUGCAGCCCCUUCCCGAUAUCCACUACUGCUCAUCCUCCAUACCGCCUCUGCCAACAGCGGGCUGCACGAAUCCUCUCCAUCAACACCUGUUGCUCCCCACUCACCGAAGAAAUCAACAGCCAAGGAACGCGAGCACGACGACCACCUGCAACAUCCUCCCCUUCUCCAAGUGCUGCUGCCCUCUCCUUUGGUUAAAUCCCCACCGAACUCUCUCUCUCUCUCUCUCUCUCUCCUACUUGUUGCUUGCUGUUUGUGUGUAUAAGAACUAAGAAAAAACAUGCUGUUGAUCUUUGGAAAGUUAGUUGAGCCUUGCAUUGUGUUAAACUCUCUCUUUAGCUUCUGGCCGAUGUGUGCACUUAAUUAUUGUUCUAUGUUAUAAGACUCGUAACCUGUUUGUUCAUAUGUCAGGGAAGAUCUUUGAGUUGUUCUACUCUAAUAUUUGUGAAUGUGGCUGUGUGUAUACUUGUUGAUGUGUUUCGUGCAAUUUUCUAUCCCUAUCUAAAAACUUGCUUCUUCCCAGUCUUAUAUGUUUGCUAGUGAAAUUACUUUCUGUCAAUAUUGUUCUUUGUCUUUGCUUCUGCCCCUGUCUUUGAUGUAUGCUUGUCUUAGUGUUUUAGAUUCUAAAGUAAAUUGAAAAUACCAAAAAAAAAUAUUGGUGUCAUUCUGUACCUUGAAUCCCAUAAUUGUUUCUAUCCCUAUCUUGGAUCAUUGCUUGUGAUGUUUCGUGGUAGAUGAUCUUGUCUUGCUUUUGAGUGGGAAACCUUCUCUUUGUUUGUUUUAAAUUUCAAAAUCCUUUCUUGUGAUCUAGCUUUAACCGAACAUUGUUGUCGCUGCCUAGUCCCUGUGGAGAACAUCGACAAAAACUACUAUAUUUGCAUUGAUCAAUAUUGUUCCUCAAUCUCAUACUUUUUGUUGAAGCAUAAUGGUUCUUACUGUUUUUGUCUUCACUGCUACUGCUUUACUUGGUCAUCUUUCUUCUUUCCAUUGCAACUCUAAAAUUGCUAAGUAAUAUCUCUGUUGUUAAAGCACUGUGACUGUCUUCACUCUUCAUUCUUCAUUUUUGAUGAAAACUUAAAACUGGUCACAUUCCCCCCCCCCCCUCCUCUGUGACGUACUCGAUCUUUCACUUGGUUUCAGAGCAAGGUCUCCUUGUUUUGGUUUUACCACCUGAGGAAGAAGUAUGUCUAAGAAAGUGAAGUUACCUGUUCUUAGCAGUACAAAUUAUGCUUUUGGAAAAAUCGAAUUAAGACACACAUCAUAUCUACUGACCCUUGUGCUUGGGAAGCAGUCACAAACGGUUUUGUUGUUCCUCAGGGCCCCGUCUCUAGAUAUGACGCUAUUUCUCUGAAGAUCAGUAACCUUAUUGGUGCCAAGAAGAUUUGGGAUCUUCUCGCUGAAGUCCAUGAAGGGACAACCGUCAAAGAUUCUAGAGUUACUCGCCUCAUCAGUCAGUUUGACAGACUUGUGCUUGAGCCCAAUGAGACUGUUUGCUCACUCUAUGAUCGUAUGAGCACCAUUGUGAAUGAUCUGAAUACUCUUGAUGAUUACAAUAUCACUGACUUGAUGCAAAACAGAAGAUUUCUUCGAGCUCUUCCCAUGGAGUACACCAUUGUCUGUGAAUUGAUCAAGCAUCGGCCAGACUUCAAGGAGUUAACCCGUACCUGGGUGCUUGGAUGAAUUGUGUCCUAUGAGCUUGAUCAGGAAGAAAAGAAGAUGAUCCAUGGUCCUGGAUCCAGUUCGAAGAAGAACAUUGCUCUCAAGGCCAAGAAAUCAUCCAAGAAGAUCGUCGGCUCCAGUGCAGAAUCUGAAUACUCAUCUUCGUCUGAUGAAGAAUCCAACUCUAGUGAUGAGCUUGCUCUGUUUGUGAAGAGGUUCAAUAAGAAGUUUGGAAAAAAGUUUGGAAAUAAACUGAAGCAUCAAGGUGAAUCCAGCUCAUCCAAGUAUCGGAAAUCUGCUCAUCGGAAGAAAUCUAAUAUGGCCAAAAGAGCUUACUUCAACUGUGGCAAGAAAGGGCACUUCAUCACUGAAUGUCCUGAGAAAGCUGAUGAAGACAAGGAAAAGAAGGGAUUUAAGAAACAUCCUCACAAAAAGAGCCAUGACCGUCACAAGAAGAAGGAUUGGAAUAACGACUCUACUCACAAGAAGAAGGGGAACUAUUACUCUAGAGCACAUGUUGGUGAAUGGAACUCAGAUUCUUCAUCGUCUGAAUAAUCAUCUGAUUCUGAGUCUGAAGACGGCAUCGUCAGAUUGGUCAUAGCUAUUUCAUCUGCCAGAGAGAAGACUCCAUUGUUUGACUCUGCAGAUUCAUCAUCUGAAGAUGCCUCCGGAGACGAUCGCAACUCACCAUCAUGCUUCAUGGCAAAAUCCUCUAAGGUAUCAUCUCAUAGUGAAGUUGAAAUGAAUUCUAGUGAUAAUGAUGAAAUUGAUAAUGAAGAAUCUGAACCCAUGACAUAUGAAAGACUUCAGUUCAUUGUUGAGAAGCAAGAAUACUUGCUUAUCACUAAGAUCAAGAAGAACACUAACAUGGAUCAUGUCGCACCAGUGGCACCCGGGGUACCACCGCUGCAUGACGCGUGGGCCACCUCGCUUGCUCCUCGGAAGGACCGCACCCCGGGCAGCUCCGCGCAAGCUGCCCCGCAAGUCACCAGCCCGGCAGAGCUAGCCAGGCUGCGGGGGUUGCCUUGGAGGGCAGCAAGAGAAAUCCCGCCUGGGCGCUUCCUGAGAAGGUUACUUGCCGAGAAGGGUGUUCCCGGGCGCACGCGUCCUUUACAGGAGCGGGACCGAGCAAGCAGGACAGCGGCGCCACGGGGCUGCUCGGCGGACUCCCUGUGCGCAGGGUUCGUCAGGACGAAGAGUGUAGCACACGCGAGCAUUUAAUGCACCGACAAAAAGGGGAUUCCCCGUCCAGUCAGCCUACAGUGACUCGCCGUGGUGUAAUUUUUAGGCGCUUAGGCCCCUAGUUGCAGGGCUACUCUUUGUGCAGUUAAGCCAGCACACCGAGGGGGAGCUGGGCUAGCUCCCUGCUCGCCAUUUGUCACCCUUGCACCAUGGCACCUGUGGUAUCCCCUUCGGUAUAAAAGGAGGAUCCCCGCCAACGGUCAAAGGGUUUGGUUCAUUCGGAUCCACACUAGCUCCAGCCAGGAAAAGCAAAUAACACUUAGCUGAAAAGAGAGAGCACCCGGGGACUCCCCUCGGCAACCUGUAAACCCUUGUUCAUUGGUUAAUAGCAAAACACAGAAGCAGGACGUAGGGUCUUACGCCUCAGGGUGGCCCGAACCUGGGUAAACGAUCUCGUGUCUAUUGUGCUCCAACCCUUGGCAUUGGCCUCGCCAGCGAUCACCGGAGCGACCCCCGCCACCCACUGCCGAACCUAAAAGGGGGUGCCCCGCAUCCCCGGUGUCAAAGCACCGUGCUACGACAUCUUGCGCGCCAGGUAGGGGCCACGCAAGGAGAGCUCGCUGGUGACCGCCGGCGCCGUCGUCUACGGCAGCACCGGCCUCGUCUACUCCAACAACAGAGCCAGUCGCUAUGCCACCCAAGCGGGCUGGUGACUCUCGGAUCGACCCGCGUGAAGCCCCAGCGGCACACACGCGAUCGCACGACGCGCAACCCGCGUCGCGGGCUCAGGAGAACCCUGAGCCCUCUCAGGCGCAGCAGUCGCAGCUACCACCCCCGCCUCCUCGGCCGUCGGCGGACAACCGGCUGAGGGGGCCAGCGGCUCCCAGCGCCGAAGCCAAUCGCGCGAGCGGCCAUGAUGCCGCCCGCGCCAGCCGGCGAGUUGAAUCGCGGGCCGGAGACGCGCAGCGGCAGCUGUACCAAGAGCACCCUGCGUCACGAGCGACGCCGACGCGAUCGCACCCUACUCACCCGGGUGCGCCGGGGGAUAGGGCGGAUGGUAGCCGGUCGGAGAAUCGACUGCCCCCAGCCCAAACCCUGACAGAAGCCAUCAUUGUGCGGUAUGAGUCAUGGUGCGGUACGAGCCGCAGCAGGGCACGCCGGCACACCAGGCAUCGAGGGCGGAGUUGGACGCGCUCCUCGCACUCGCCGCCACGUAGCCGCAGGGCGGGGGCGCCCCGGCUGGCUCAGGCCGCGGGCAAAACCCGGGGUGCGAAGACAUACCCCGCGUCUUGGGGCAGGGGGAAAACCCUCCCCUGCAGGGAGGGCAAGGAGGCGGGGAUCCUGAGGGGUCCUCGGAUUCGUCACCAACCGUCACACGGGGUAACUCGCGGGGCGUCUUGAACGCCCGCCAACAGGAGGACCUCCGCCGGUGCCUGGAGCGCCCGCGCCCGGAGAAGCAGGAGGAUGCUCCCAUGGGCGCCGAGGACGGCUGCACCGCAUUCACCCGCGAGCUGCGCCGGGUGACAUGGCCCUGCAAGCGCCGAGCGCCGGCGCUUGGGACGUACGACGGGACCGUGAACCCGAAGGAUUUCCUCCUGACCUACACGUUGGGGAUGCACGCCAUCCGUGCCGACGACAAGGUCAAGGCUAACUGGUUCCCAAUGGUCCUCAAGGGAUCAGCGAGAACGUGGCUGCUCAACCUGCCUGCCGAGUCCAUAGCCACUUGGCCGGACCUGCGCGAGCAGUUCGUGAGCGCGUUCAGGGCGGCUACAAGCGCUCAGGAACCAUGGCGGAGCUGCACACCGUGGUGCAGAAGCCGGGAGAGACGCUGCGGAGCUUCGUCAACCGCUUCUCCAGCCUCUCCUACUCCAUCCUGGAGGCGGAGGCUGCCGCCAUCGUCAACACCUGCGCCAACAACGUCCGCGACCUCAAGAUGCAGGAGAAGCUGAGCAUGCAUCGGAUCCGGACGACGCAGGAUCCCUAUGCCCUGGCGCACAAGUGUGCCAUGGUCGAGGAAGGGCGCUUGGUGCCUGAGCUUGCAGCUAAGGCUGCCGCGUGCCCAGCUGUAGGCUCGCAGAAGAAGGGCUCCCGCAAGCGCAACGGGAAGCAAGUCCUCGCCGCGGAGUCGGGGGCUACCGCGAGGCCUGCGAAAAAGGCCUCGCCCGGUGGAGGGUCUGGCGGCAAGCUGGGUGACGCGGUGCGAGAAGCGCCACGAGGAGCGCCAAGCGGCCGGCGCCUGCUUCAACUGCGGUGACAUCGGGCACCUCUCCCGGGAUUGCCCAAAUGAACCCAGAGCGGGGCCGAAGCCUGCUGGUGGGGGCGCCGGCAGGGAGGAAGCCCAGGGAGGACGCGGCCAGGCCCAUGCAGGCAGGGAGCGCCCUCCCCAGGGAUGAGACAAGGCUUGCGCUGAGGAGCAGCGUGAGUCCGAUUGCAGCGCGGGCAACGAGCCCGGCUUUCGGGAGCCCCGCGGCAUCUCCUGCAUCCAUGGGGGAGCUUACGCUCUCUCAUCCCACGCCGCGGUGAAGCACCUCACCCGGGAGGUGUGUGCGUUGUUGCCGGACACGGAGGCGCAGCAGCCGCUUAAGUGGUCGCACGUGCCUAUAACCUUCAGCGCUGAUGAUCACCCAGCCUGACAGCUGGGUUCAGGGGUUCUACCCUUUGUGGUCUCGCCGAUCAUCAACAACGUGACGGUGACCAAGGUGCUGGUGGACAACGGAGCGGGGCUGAACCUCCUGUCCGCCAGGUUAAUGGAAAAACUUCAGCUGCCGCAUCACACUGGGGCACAUCAGUGAACCUCGGGAUCAUGCGCCCCCUUGGGCGCAUCACGCUGCCGGUUACCUUCAGGUUCCGGGAAGCGUUCAGGACCGAGCACCUGGUGUUCGAUGUGGCGCACACCCCGUUGCCAUACAACGGGAUCCUUGGUUGGCCGGCUCUGAUCAAGUUCAUGGCGGCGACUCAUUGGCCUACGGCGUGAUGAAGAUGCCGUCCAUGUAUGGCGUCCUCUCCGUCAGGUGCGACCUCAAGGACGCAGCCUGGUGCGUCGGCGAGGUCGUCAAGGCCGCCGCCGCAGCCGACUCCGGUGCCGAGGAAGUUGCCGGGAGUGAAGGCUCGCUGCCGGGUGACGGCCCCGUGGUGAAGAAGGCCUGUGCUACCCCGCAAGAGCUUGCCGGGGGAGGCGCAGGCUCGAGCUCGCGCCCCGGCAAGGGCUAGAAGCUCCAGGAGGAGGCCGCCAAGGUGAGGAAGCUGCCCCUCCAAGCCGGCAAUGAGGAGCGCACCGUCACCGUUAGUGCAAACCUCACUACCGAAUAGGAAACCGCCCUCAUCACUUUCCUUCGGGAGAACGCCGAUGUGUUCUCUUGGGAACCGCCGGACCUUCCUAGAGUCCCUAGGGAGGUGAUUGAGCAUCGACUCACGGUGCGUUCGGACGCCCGCCCCGUCAAGCAGAAGAUCCGCCGGCAAGCACAGGAGCGCAAAGAUUUCAUCAAGCAAGAAGUGGACAAGUUUAAAACUGCGGGAGCCAUCAGGGAAGUACUGUACCCUUCUUGGUUAGCUAAUCCUGUGGUAGUACCCAAGGGGGAGAAUAACUUCGCAUGUGUGUGGAUUUUACUGAUCUAAACCGUGCCUGCCCGAAAGAUCCAUUCCCUGUACCACGCAUUAAUCAAAUAGUAGAUUCCACUGCCGGUUGCAAUUUGCUGUGUUUUUGGAUGCAUUUUCCGGCUACCAUCAAAUUAAGAUGGCAGUCGAAGACGAGGAGAAAACAGCGUUCAUCACCCCGGUUGGCUGCUACUGUUACACGUGCAUGCCGUUCGGGUUGAAGAACGCGGGCUCAACAUUCCAGCGUGCGUUGCGCGAGUGUUUGGGACCCUAGCUAGGCCGAAACGUAUAGGCCUAUAUGGACGAUAUCGUCAUCAAAUCAAAGCGCGGGGACUCGCUGAUUGAAGACCUGCGGGAGACGUUUGAUAACCUCCGUAGGAUCAAGCUCAAGUUGAACCCUGAGAAAUGCAUCUUUGGUCUGGACUCGGGUCAGCUUCCGGGUUUCUUUGUUUCGCAUAGGGGGAUUCAAGCCAAUCCAAAGAAGAUAGAGGCUAUCGAGAAAAUGGAGGCUCCCCGCAAGGUGAAGGACGUUCAGCGCCUCAACGGCUGCGUUGCCGCGUUGGGGCGCUUCAUCUCGAGGCGGGGCGUGCGCGCCCUACCCUUCUUCAAGGUGAUGAAGAAGAAGGGACCGAUCGAUUGAACCCCCGAGGCUAAGGUGGCGUUCCAGGAUCUCAAGCAGUACCUGAAGUCGCCGCACAUCCUCAUCUCCCCCAAGCCGGGCGAGCCGCUGCUACUCUACCUAGCGGCGACUGACCAAGUGGUAAGCUCGGUGCUGGUUGCUGAGAGGGAAGAAGACCACCCGGGGAUGAGGUUGCGGGGCAGGGGGCUGAGCGGCCCCCGGCAACCGCCUCGGACCCGGGGAUCGCCAUCGAGCCCGCGGCGUCAGCACCACGCAAGCAGCUCGGGCAGCACCCUGUGUACUUCGUCAGCACGGUGCUGUGUGACGCCCGCACGCGGUACCCGCAAGUGCGGAAGCUAUUGCUGGGGAUUCUGCUUGCAUCACGCAAGCUGCGCCAUUACUUCCAGGCUGUCGGGGUUCUGCCUCGAGCGGGCCCUCACCAACCGUGACGCCACUAGGAGUGUGGCCGAGUGGAGGAUGGAGUUGUCGGAGUUUGAUCUGCACUUCACCAACACCAAAAUCAUCAAGACCGCCGCUCUAGCGGAUUUCGUUGCAGAGUGGACUUCGACGGGCAUAGAAGAAGAGGAGCCGGAGACCAGCCUGCCCGGCAAGCUGGACGAAGGCCACUGGGUCCUGUACUUCGACGGUGCGUUCAGCCUGCAGGGGGCUGGCGCCGGGGUCGUCAUCGAGUCGCCCACGGGUGAUCAGCUGAAGUUCACCAUCCAGCUCAACUUCCCCAACACCACCAACAACACGCUCGAGUAUGAAGAGUUGCUCGCCGGGUUGCGGGCGGCGGUCGCCCUGGAUAUCAAGCGCCCGGUUGUUCGCGGGGACUCCCAACUCAUGAUCAACCAGGUUAACAAGGACAAUGACUGCCCAAAGAUGGCGGCGUACGUGGAUGAGGUCCGCAAGCUGGAACGCAAGAGGUUCGGGCCACCCGGAGGUGUAAAACCCUACGUCCUACUUGUCUGGGCUGAUAUUGAUUGUGGAUCAAGCGUUUACAAGUUGCCGGGCAAGUUCCCGGGCUUUCUCUACUAUUCUUUGCUAGUGCUCCAAGCUAACUCAACUCGCGCGGAACCUAGACUCUAACCCUUCUGAACCUCCCAACUCAACUCACGCAGAACCCAACCCCCCAACCGCUGGCAUGGGUCCUCCUUUUAUACUCAAGGAGAUGCCACAGGUGCCAUGGUGCAUGAGCUACAAGUGUCCAGCGGGGGGCACACAACUCCCCCCGGUGAGCUGGUGGCGUGCAUCGAUGCCACCUCCGCUGCUAGGGGUCUAAAACCCUAGGGUAGGAUUGGACAGCCAUUGUUCCUUCGAUCGGAUGGGUAACGACCCGUCGGUCGGCUUGUUUACUGAGCCGUGCGCCUUACUCCUUGCUCUGGUGGGACCGCGCAUCCCACGCCCGCCACGCGGCUCGCGUGGCGCUGUUGAUCUGGCCACUGGGCCCCGCGCCUGGGGCGGGGGCAGGUGCCCGGGAACCCCCUGUCUCGGCAAAUCGACCUCGGGAAGCACCUGGACCCAACGCACCCGGGAAGCCGCUUCCCGGGAGGUGCCCAAGCGAGAAUGUUCCCCGAAGCCCCGAUAGCCCCUUCUGGGCGGGUGCCACUAGUGCGACAGUAGCCCCCAGGCAUCGGCCGACAUCACCUGUUCUCGGAAGGCUCUCCCCCUGGUCGGUUGCCGGGCUACGCCCUUAACCGACGCGUGGGCCCCGAUCAGUCGCGGGCUCGCAUCCCUUCGCUGCCCCGUGUACGGCGCCGUUACAAGCGGAGCAGUGGACCUGUGAUUUCCGCCCUAACUCCCCCCUUAAAUAGGGAAGUUAAGGCCACUCCGCGCAUUACUCCCAGUGAUUAGGAGUUAUCCCCGCACACCCGUAGGGUACGGAACCGGCCGUUACCAAACGGCCGGGUGUCAAAAAGCCACCACUGUUGCCAAAAGGGGAACAAUACUCUGCCCCCAUCGCCUUCGCCUCCAUCCCCUUCCGCAUCUCGCAUCCCUGCGCUCCUGUUAGCUUCCGCCCUCGCUUUCCAUGGCGCCCCCCACCACCAGAAAAGGGAAGGACGUCCAGGUCUCGAAGAGGGCUGCGACGAGCACGGGGAGACGCGGAUCUUCCCGUCAGGUGCUGAACACUAGGACAACGACUUCCGGGUGUUUGCGCGCUUCCUCCUCUGCGGCAUGGUGCCGCCCUUCUCCCUAUUCCUCCACGCACUGAUGGAGUCCUACCAGCUGCGGGUGGUGCAACUCCACCCCACCUCCUUGUUCCUCCUCGCCACCUUCCAAUUCCUUUGUGAGGCGUUCGUGGGGGUGAUGCCGUUGGUGGGGCUCUUCCGCCACUACUUCUACCCGCGUAUCGACAAUGCGAAGGCGAUGUCGUCGGGGGCGGUCUUCCGCACCCGCGACCAGAUGAGGUCCGAGUUCAUCGUCCGGUCAUGGAAGAAGAUUGAAAAAGAGUGGCGGAGCGACUGGUGCUGGGUCCGAGUGGAGGACCCCAGGAGUUCAUCCAACCGCCGAUGGAGCUGCCGCAACCCCAGAACGGCUGGCAGGAUAGGUACCACCGCGACGCCGGCAUCCUCCCCAUCAUGGAGAAGAUCAAGGCGCUGCGGCUAGCGGGGCUCACCGAUGUGGACGUGGCACGCCCCUUCGUCCGUCGGCGCAUAGCCCCGCUGCACUACGCUCCCGGCCCGCGUGGAUGUACACAGGCCCCGGGGACAGGACAUGCCUCCAGGAGGACGGCGUGGACUUGGAGACCCUCAGGACAUGGGUGAGGGGGAUCUCCGGCGAGAUCUUCCAAUCAACGAAGUUCCCGCCGGGGGUUUCCUCUCUUCACGCCGGCGUCAAGGCGCUCAGCGACAUCGUCGGCGCCUUCCCGCCCUACAAGUGGGGGUUGAUGGACGACACCCCCACACGGGUCCCGCACGCUCCCCCACAAGCACCCCGCGAGAAGCAGGUGGUCGAGGAGAGCGGGGGCGGAUCCGAGCCCAGCUGGCUCUCCCUCCAGUCGCUGGACGACGAGGCGGGCCGGGGGCUGCGUCCCCGGAGGGGGUUGCCGUGGACGACGACGACGAAAGCAGCGACAGCGCGCCCCUGAUCGUGAGGAGAUCGAGGGCGCUUGCAGCGGCCGCACCCUCUCCUCGACGGCAACGUCCGCCCCGGCAGUGGCCCCCACCCUUGCGGCGGCCGCCGCUUCAGGGACGCCCGUUGACACCUCGACAGCAUCUGCGGCAACAAGGGCCGCAGGGGUCUCGGCGGCGGCCUCCGCCUCAGCGACAGCCGCGAGUGUUGCGGUGGCAACCAGUCUCGGGGUGCCCGCCGGGACUCCGGCAGCGCCAGCGCCUGCAGGGGUCGCCGGUGCCUCGGCAACGGCCUUCGCCCCAGUAGCGGGGGCCUUCACGAGUUCUGCAUCUGGCGUCGUCGCGGCCUCGCCGUCGACACCCGGAGCUCUCCGGGUCACCACGACUCCGCGGGCGCCCACGGCGCCACCUGCUCAGGGGGUCUUCCGGGGCUUCGCGCUCCAGCGUAACCCAAGAAAUCCUCCUCGCCGGCGGGUGCCAGCAAGAGGGCGAGGAGCGAUUCCCCGCCCUGUACGCCCAGCAAGAGGACGUGCGCCGGUGCCCGCGGCGCCGCCGACCCCACCGCCGCAGGAGUCGGCCGCGACACGAGCAUGCCCCUUGGCGACCCAGCCCUCACGGAGGCAGGGCCGGCAGCCGGUAUGUCUUCGUCACUCUUCUGCAAUUGCAAUUUUUGUUAGCCAAACUCAUGAACAUACCCCCCUUUUUUUCUGCAGUGAGCGGCAGCAAGCCUCUUAGACGCUCCCGCCGGCACAAGCGAGGCAGGGGAGGUUUCCACGGCAAGCCCGGCGGCCGCGCAAGGUAACCACCCUGAUUACCCUUGUCCGUCUUUGAAGGCUCCGUUAAUCGCCGAUCCUUAUGCUUCUCAUUGUUGCAGGCACAAGUGCGCCCAUGCCCGGAACGGGCGCAACCGCGGCCGAUCUUGACCCGGUCGUCGAGGCUGUGGGGGUGGAGGUGGAGCCGGAACUGGCUCUUACGUCCAGUCCCGCUGCGGCGGACACAGCGGCAGCGGUGGACAUCGCCGCCGCCGUGACUGCGUCCGGCGACGCGCCCGUAGCUGCGGGCGCGACCGACGCAGGCUCUCCCGUCGCCCAGCAGGGGACGGCCCCCGCCGGGAGCAGGGAAGCUUCUCCAACCCCGGGGUCCCUGGGCGCAGGCGCAAGGGAAGUUGCUGGGGAAGGACAGCAAGACCCCCGGGAGCAGGCUGGCGACCCUGAGCACAGCCCCGCAUCAGCAGCAGGGGCUUCACCGUCCUCGGUAGCUCUCCCCGGUACUGACCUCGGCACCCUCGCCGGGGUCGCUUGGAACCCCCUUACAUGGGAUCCGAGCAUCUUCGAGCGGGGGCACGGGUUCCUGGACGCCGUCAGGGACCAGCAACUGGCCUUCGUCACCUCCUUCAACGAGGUGAGGGAGCACCACACCGCUGCCAAAAAUCAGCUCGGCAAGGUGCGGGAGGCCGUGGAGAGAGAACGGCGUGAACUGUCCCGGCUACGCGAGGAGAUGCGCCUCGCGGAAGAGGAGGCGCGACUGGCCCGGCAAGCCCUGGAGGACGCCCGGGAGCCGGUGGUCCCGGAGACCGAACUCCAUCGACAACUGGAGGCCCAGCGCGUGGAGCUUCAAGGGAAGCUCGACUCGAUGGCGGUCACCCUUGAGGCAACCAGGAAGGAACACGCCGAGGUGGUCGCGGCGGCCCAGGCCUAGCUGGACGAGAAGAGCGUCCUGAUCGCCAACUACCGCGGCGAAAUCCAAGGCCUCCGCGUCAUGCGGGAGGUGCAGGUCAAGGCCACCGAGGACGUGGCAAGAGCGGCGGCUCGGCACGAGGCCGAACUCACCUCUGCCAAGGACAGAGCUGCCAGGCUUGAGACCGAGCUAGCCGCCGUCCGGGAGGAGCUCGUCAAGGCAGGCGAGGACAAUGUGGCCAAGGCCGCAGAGCUCGAGAAGCUGGCGGGCCGCCUCAGCAAGGCUAAGAAGGCUGCGCACGACGCUUGACUCCAUCACGGCACGCUGAUCGGGCAGCGGCAGAUCGAGACGGAGAAGCUGAUGAAGAUCGCCCUGUCGCUGCGCGACCUGCUGCCCAAGUUCGAGCUGCAGGCGGCGGAGGUGGACGGGACAGACGUCACGACGCUGAUCCCCUUCUUCUCCGUCCUGGUGGGGAAGCUUGGGGCGCUUGACGUCUGGAUCGCCCGGUACGGCGCCAACGAAGUCGCCAACUGCGCUCGGGAGGUUGCCGGGACAAUCCUCCCGUGGAUUCAUCCCGGGACCCGGAGUUUCCCUUCGAGUCCCUGCUGGACGCUUGGUCCGACAGCGAGGACGAGCCCACGCCCACCCAAGCAGUGCGUGAGUUCGUCGAUGAGGUCGUCGAGUGGAUGCAGAUGAAGCCGGAGCAUGAUCUCCCCGCCGACCCCCCGGCCGAAGACGGCGACAACUAGUUGCCACAGCCCCCAGUCGAGCUCGUUGCUCCCAAUGUAGCUCCUCUAGUUCUCUUUCCACAAGUAUGGCGCUUAGCGCCGUUUGAACAAUCACCUUUUGAUUAGUCUAUGCAAUCAUUCAGCACUCGGUCAAUCAAGCUUUUUAAUUUGCUCAAUUUUUGUUCCUUGUUUCCGGAGCUGCCUCGCGGGGCAGUUCCCUUAGCCUUUGCGUGUCAUGCCUUGUGUUGCCGGGGACUCGCACGUCCCACCCUUGACCAGACCAGGGACCCGGGACGGACCCGCAGUGCCGACCUGGGGUCAAGCGGUAGUCGGCGAGCCACUCCACUUGCGGGGUAACUACUCCAAGCCAUGCCCUCCCGAGACGGACCCGGAAACCAUACGGGGAGCGCACUCCCCCCACAAGCGUCCUCCUCACACCCCGGCCACACGCGGGUUCCGGGGCCACACUUGGCGAAGCAGCGUCCAAUUCUCAGUCAAUUAAGUUUUUCGACAUGUUCGUUGUUCCUGGUGCUGUCUAGCGGGGUGGCCCUUUUAGCCUUUGCGUAUUUUGCCUUGUGUUGCGGGGGACUCGCGCGCCUCACCCUUGACCAGACCAGGGACCCGGGAUGGACCCGCGGUGCCGACCUGGGGCCAAGCAGGAGCGAGGAGUCACACCACUUGCGGGGUAACUACUCCAAGCCGUGCCCCUCUGGGACGGACCCGCGAGGCCACAUGGGGAGCGCACUCCCCCCGCAAGUGUCCUUUUAACACUCCGGCUACGCACGGGAUCUGGGGCCACACCCAACGGGACAGAGCUCAAUUUCGUUCAGUUCUUAGCGAGUUCAGCGUUCAUGUUCAGACACUUAGCUUUUCCGUUCGGUCCAAUGCCUCGUGACGCUCGGCGGUAAAGUACAGCUGGGGCACUGCGUUGGUAGGACCCCACCUUGGGUACCUGUUCAAGGGAAACGGUUUCUGAGGGGUGCGGCAGGAGCGCAGGGGCAGGACCGCCGCCCGCGGCAACUGCCGACGACGAUGCUACCACCACGCUCACGUGGUAACCCUCGCCUUCAGGGACGAACCCUAGCUUAGGAGGACUCCACCCCGGGAGCAGCCGCAAGACGGCUAUAACGUUCUCGCCACCAGCUGCGCCCCACCACGAACGGCGGGCACGGGUGGCGAGGAAGUUAUAGCCUCCCGGCGACAGCCCCCGCAACCGGGGAGACCUGGUUUUUUCUGGGGAGCUCGUCCCAAUGGAUGUGACAGCCCUUGCUGCCCGGGAGCAAAACUGCUCGAGGGCCGUGGCAGGGACGCGGUGAUGGGCCGGAACGGGCGGCAGGCGCCGGCACCGGCGCCCUCACAGCGUCCUCGCAACGACCCGCGCCCGAAAAAGGCUCUCUCAAGGGGAAUGCGGUUGGGUCUCUAUGAUAAUGCACCCGUCAGCACAAGGCAUGGAUGGCAUGCACUAUCAUAGAGUCUCCGCAGCAGCCCCUGCUCCUUGCGGAGGUGUCUUAUGGAGGGGCGCGGCAGGGGUACUGCAGCAAUGCACCCCGUCAGUGCCGGGCACUGAUGGGAUGCACCACCACAGUGCCUCCGCGGCGACCCUCGCCCAGGAGCCACCCAUUUGAGGGGCGGGCUCGAUGGGGUCAUGCGGCAGGGGCGCGAUGGCAACGCACCCGUCGGCGCUGCACCACCAUCGUGCCUCCAUGGCACCACCCGCCUUAACAGCCCCGGAUCCAGGUUCGCUCUGAGCCGUUCCAUGUUUGAGGCGCGCCUUUUAUAGGCGCGGGAGGGGGGUUUGCCACCGCGCACAACGGGCCCGCGUAGCACCCGUGGCACCCCUUCUUUGAAACGCGGUACAACCUCCGCCGUCGUGCACACUUGGCAACCGUGGCACACGUGGCGGUGCCCUCCCGAGUCAGAAGCCUCGGAGUGCGGUGAGCCUCUUGUGCUGCGGUCAUCCCGCACCACAAGGCACCGGUGGAUGGUGCGACCCAUGGGCAGCCCACGGGCACCACAGUGCAAAAGAUUCCAUCCUUUCCUACAGGUUAGAUUCUUACCAGGCUUGAGGUGCUGCAAAAAUUUUCAAAAUUUACGAAAAUAUACAAAGCAACACAAAGAAAACUCCUCCUGCCUCCCAGCCCCCGGGCACAAAGGGGCCGAUACCAGACUUGGAUGUGAGCAUUUUCUUUCCUAGGCGCAAUGACUGCGCGGUGCACGUUGCGGGGAGCCUGGCAACGGCACAUCCAGUGAUGCGCGUUGCGGGGAGCCCGGCAACCGCAUGUCCAGUGAUGCAUGUUGCGGGAAGCCUGGCAACUACAUGUCCCGUGCCGGAACGAUCCGGCAACGGGUUUAUGUUUUCGAGGCUCCAACAGCCCCCUGCUCACAACCAAGUAUGGAAAGACACCUUUGUGCACUUACAACAGGAGACAGAAGAGGGAGGAACAUGCGAAUAAACAAGGCAAAUUCAAAGCUCAGGGGCGAGACACUUAUCUUUAUUCACAAUAACUAAUGGUUUACACACGGGGGCUGCCUGGCUACACUAGUUCGAGAGGUAUGCACCAGCGGCAUCACCUGAGGGUCGGGCUCCGCCGCUUCACGGGUAGAACUUGCGCAAGUGCUCAAUAUUCCAACUAUUGGGCACCGGCAAGCCGUCUUCGGUUUCCAGGCGGACAGCCCCCGGCCUGGUCACCUGCACAACCCAGAAGGGGCCUUCCCAUUUCGGAGUCAACUUGUUCCCGGCCUUCGUUCCUUGUAUCCGGCACAGGAUAAGGUCUCCGUUCUCGAGCCCCCGGGGACAGACUCGCCUGUCCUGAUAACAAUGGAGUCCCUGCUGGUAGCGCGCGGCUCGCACAGCAGCCCGGCAUCGAAGCUCUUCGAUGAAGUUUAGAUCAUCGACCCUUUGCUCGUGUUGGCUGGUGUCACCGUACGCGUGUACUCGGGGAGAUCCGUGCUUGAGCCCGUUGCCCAACUAGGUGUUUCGCCCGUUGCCCGACUAGGUGUGGUCAGGAUGGACCACAGCACAGGCUGGAGUUCUUCGACCCAGUGUUUUCCGUGCCCUUUGAGCUUGUCAAAGGUUCUCGUCUUGAGCCCCCGCAGCACCUCUACGUUGGCUCGCUCCGCCUGUCCGUUACUCCUCGGGGGAGCAACGGACACGAAGCGCAGCUUAGUGCCCAUGUCCUCGCAAUAGGCUUGAAACGCCGCGCUCGUGAAUUGCGUGCCGUUGUCGGUGAUGAUGCUGUUAGGCACACCAAACCGGCACACAAUGCCUCUGAAGAACUUGAUGGCCGCCUAGGCGGUCACCUUCCGCACUAGUUCCACCUCCACCCACUUGGAGAACUUGUCGAUGACCACGAACAAAUAUUCGUAACCGCCAACCGCCCCUGGUAGCCUGCCGACGAUGCCGAGCCCCCAGACCGCAAACGGCCAUGAGGACGGGAUGACAUGCAGGGCCUGCACCGGUUGGUUGCUCUUCUUUGGGUGGAACUGGCACGCCUCGCACAUCUUCACAAGUCGUUCCGCAUCGGCCAGUAGAAACCGUGCCAGAACGCCUUACCGGCUAGAGCCCGAAAGGCCACAUGGUGUGAACAUGUGCCUCGAUGUAUGUCUUCCAACAGUGCGCACCCCUCUUCCUGUGGCACGCAGGUAAACUUGACACCGUUCGCACGCCUGCGGUAGAGGUUACCAUCUACCACAGUGUACAUCUUGGCUUGCCGCGGUACACGCUCCGCGGCGACGUCAUCUUCCGGGAGAGCCUCCCCUUUCAAGUAGCGAGCGAUUUCUUCCGCCCAGGGGGGAAUCUCCCUGCCAACGCAUGCCGCCAUAUCAGCGACAUGGACCCCCGCUGCUGCAGGGGUUCCCUCAGUUGCCGAAGGGGCACCCCCGGCAGCCGGCUGGGGGGCGACUGAAGGAGCCACUUGCUUCUGACAGAACACCCCCGCCGGAGGCUUCCAGCGCUCUGCUGCCGCCUUGGCCAGCACGUCAGCAGCGAAGUUAUCCUUCCGCUUGACGUGCUUGAAGCGCAAACCUUUGAACUUUCGUUCUAGCUUGCGGACCUCCUCUACGUACGACGCCAUUUGAGGGCAGCCAUAGUCCUUGUUCACCUGGUCGAUCACGAGCUGGGAAUCGCCGCGAACAACCAGGCGCUUAAUGUCGAGGGCGACCGCUGCCCGCAACCUGGCAAGCAGGCCCUCGUACUCCACCGUGUUGUUGGUGUAGUUAGCGAAGUCGAGUUGAACAGCAAACCUCAACUGGUCCCCUGUUGGUGACUCGAUGACGACCCCAACGCCUACUCGCUGAAGACUGAACGCACCGUCGAAGUAAAGGACCCAGUGGUCCUCGUCCAGCUUGCCGGGCAGGCUGAUCUCCGGCUCACUUUCUUCUACGCCCGUGGACGUCCAUUCCGCGACGAAGUCCGCCAGGGCCGUGCUCUUAAUGCUUUUGGAGUUGGUGAAGUGGAGGUCGAACUCCGACAACUCCAUCCUCCAUUCGGCCACCCUCCUGGUGGCUUCACGGUUGGUGAGGGCUCGCUCGAGGCAGAACCCAGACACCACCGUGACGCGGUGCGCCUGGAAGUAGUGGCGCAGCUUGCGGGACGCAAGGAGAAUCCCUAGAAGGAGCUUCUGUAUUUGCGGGUACCUUGUCCGCGCGUCGCGAAGCACCGUACUAAUGAAGUACACCGGGUGCUGCAUCAACCGCUUCCGCGGUGCCGAGGUUGCCGACUCGGGGGCGGUCUCCGGGUCUGAGGCGGUUGCCGGGGGCCGCUCAGCCCCCUGCCUCGCGGCCCCAGUCCCUGGGACGUCUUCCUCUCUCUCGGCAACUAGCACCGAGCUGACCACCUAGUCAGUCGCCGCUAGGUAGAGUAGCCGCGGCUCGCCCAGCUUGGGGGCGACGAGGAUGGGCGGCGACCUCAGGUACUGCUUGAGUUCCUAGAACGCCGCCUCGGCCUCGGGAGUCCAGUCGACUGGACCCUUCUUCUUCAUUACUCUGAAGAAAGGCAGGGCACGCUCGCCCAGCCUAGAGAUGAAACGCCCCAGCGCGGCAACACAGCCGUUGAGGCGCUGGACAUCUUUCACCUUGCGGGGGGCCUCCAUCUUCUCGAUGGCUUCUAUCUUGGUCGGGUUGGCCUGUAUCCCUCUGUGUGAAACCAAGAAACCCAGAAGCUGCCUGGAAUUGACACCGAAGGUGCACCUAUCGAGGUUCAGCUUGAGCUUGAUCCUGCGGAGGUUGUCGAACGUCUCCCGCAGGUCAUCAAUUAGCGAGUCCCCACGCUUCGAUUUGAUGACGAUGUCGUCCAUGUAGGCCUCCACGUUGCAGCCUAGCUGGGGCCCCAAACAUUCGCGCAGGGUGCGCUAGAAUGUGGAGCCCGCGUUCUUCAACCUGAAAGGCAUGCAUGUAUAACAAUAACAGCCAACCUGGGUGAUAAACGUUGUCUUUUCCUCAUCCUCGACCGCCAUCUUGGUUUGAUGGUAGCCGGAGAAAGCAUCCAGAAAGCUCAGCAAGUCACAACCAGCGGUAGAAUAAAUUAUCUGAUCGAUACGGGGUACAGGGAAGGGAUCCUUGGGGCAUGUGCGAUUAAGAUCGGUAAAAUCUACACACAUCCGAAGCUUAUUCCCUGCUACAGGGUUAGCCAGCCAAGUGGGGUACAGAACUUCCCUGAUUGCCCCGGCAGCCUUAAGCUUGUCACCCUGCUUCCCGCCAGACUCUCCACCCGGCAAGGCCUUCUUCGCGGGCCUCGCGACAAGAGCCCCUGAGUCCGCAGCGAGGACUUGUUUCCUGCUGCGCUUGCGGGAACCCUUCUUUUGCGAGCCCUCGCCAGGGCUGCCAGCUCGGGCGCUAGGCGCCCUUCCUCGGCCAUGGCGCAUUUGUGCGCCAGGGCGUACAAGCCCUGCGUCGUCCGGAUCCGAUGCGUGCUCAGCUUCUCGCGCAUCUUGGCAUCGCGGACGUUGAUGAGAAAAGUGUUGAUUAUGGCGGCCGCCUCCGCCUCUGGGAUGGAGUAGAAGAGGUUGGAGAAGCGGUUGACAAAGGCCCGCAACGUCUCUCCCGGUUUCUGCACGAUAGUGUGCAGCUCCGCCAUGGUUCCCGGGCGCUUAUAGCCGCCCUGGAACGCGCUCACGAACUGCUCGCGCAGGUCCGCCCAAGUGGCGAUGGACCCGGCAACCAGGUUCGCGCUGAUCCUUUCAGGACCAUCGGGAACCAGUUCGCCCUGACCUUGUCGUCAGCGCCGAUGGCAUGCAUGCCCAACGUGUAGGUCAGGAGGAAAUCCUUGGGGUUAGCGGUCCCGUCGUACGUACCGAGCGCGGGCGCCCGGAACUUACGGGGCCACGUCACCCGCCGCAGCUCGCGCGUGAACGCGGUGCAGCCGUCCUUGGGGCCCAGGGGAGCGUCUUCCUGCUCCUGUGGGUGCGGGCGCUCUACCUCGCGCCUGCGCCGGCGCUCCAAGCGUUGGCGCAAAUCCUCCUGCUGGCGGGCAUUCAAGAUGCCGCGCGCAUCGCCCCCCGGAAUGGUGGGCGACGAGUUUGAGGACCCCUCUGGGCCCCCGUCUCCUUGGCCUCCCUGAGAAGGGGGAGGGUUCUCCCCCUGUCGUGAGGCGGGUGGCGCGUCUCCGCGCUCCGGGUUCUGCCCGUGGCCGGAGCCUACCGGCGCGCCCGCGCCUUGCGGCUGCUGGGCGGCUAGGGCGAGAAGCAGUUCCAGCUACUCGCCCCACGUCUCAUGCGCCGGCGUGCUCUGCUGCGGCUCGUACCGCACCAUGACGUGCAUGGCGAUGAUGGCUUCUGCCGGGGACAGCCACUGUUCCUUCGAUCGGACGGGUAACGACCCGUCGGUCAGCUCGUUUACUGAGCCAUGCGCCUUACUCCUUGCUCUGGUGGGACCGUGCAUCCCACGCCCGCCACGUGGCCUCGCGUGUCGCGCAGCGGUGGUACCCCGGGUGCCACGGGUGCGACACGAGGCGUGUCAGUUCCACGCGAAGAAGAGCAACCAGCCGGCGCAGGCCUUGCAAGUGAUCACAUCUUCCUGGCCGUUCGCGGUCUGGGGGCUGGACAUCGUCGGCAAGUUACCAAGGGUGGUUGGCGGCUACGAGUACUUGCUCAUGGCUAUCGACAAGUUCUCCAAGUGGGUGGAAGUGGAGCCAGUGCGGAAGGUGACCGCUCAAGCCACCAUCAAGUUCUUCAAAGGCAUCGUGUGCCGGUUUGGUGUGCCUAACGGCAUUAUCACCGACAACGGCACACAGUUCACGAGCGUCGUGUUCCAAGCCUACUGCGAGGACAUGGGCACCAAGAUCCACUUUGCUUAUGUUCCUCACCCGAGGAGCAACGGACAGGCGGAGCGAGCCAACGCAGAAGUGCUGCGGGGGCUGAAGACAAGAACCUUUGACGAGCUCAAAGGCCACGGGAAGCACUGGGUCAAUGAACUCCAGCCCGUGUUGUGGUCGAUCAGGACCACACCUAGCCGGGCAACGGGUGAAACUCCUUUCGCCCUUGUCUAUGGGGCAGAAUCGGUGCUUCCCCUCGAGCUCAAGCAUGGAUCCCCUCGAAUACGCGCGUACGGCAACCAUAGCCAACACGAGUAGAGGGUUGACGAUCUAAGCUUCGUCGAAGAACUUCGAUGCUGGGCUGCUGUGCGGGCUGCACGCUACCAGCAGGAAGGGUCCAUCCCCGGGAGCUCGAGAUCGGAGACCUUGUCCUGCGCCGGAUACAAGGCACGAAGGCCGGGAACAAGCUGGCUCCGAAAUGGGAGGGGCCCUUCCGGGUAGUGCAGGUAACCAGGCCGGGGGCUGUCCGGCUGGAAACCGAAGAAGGCUUGCCGGUGCAAAAUAGUUGGAAUCUUUAGCACUUGCGUAAGUUCUACCCGUGAAGCGAUGGAGCCCGACCCACAGGUGAUGCUCCGGCAGCAUGCCUCUCGAGAUAGUGUAGCCGGGCAACCCCCGAUUGUAAACCACUAGCUUUUAUUAAUAAAGAUAAGUACUUUCCUCUGAAUUUCAAGCUGCCUCGAAUAUUUGCAUGUUUUUUUCCAUCUGUCUCCUGCUUUAGGUGCACAAAAGUCUCUUUCCAUCCUUGGUUGUGAGCAGGGGCUGCCGGAGCCUUGAAAACGAAAAACCCGCUGCCGGAUUACUCCGGCACGAGGCCAUGCCGUUGCCGGGCUCCCCGCAACGCGCAUCACGCAGGAGCUGUGUCCUGGAAUAGAAAGGUGCUCACACCCAAGUUUGUAUCGACCCUUCUGUGCCCGGGGGCUGGGGGCAGGAGGGUUGCUUGUGCUUUAUUCAUGUUGCGUCUUUUUUCGUGUAUUUCGAAAAAAAAUUGCAGCAUCUUGCGCUCGGUAAGAAUCUGACAUGCAGGGCAAGGACGGAGUUGUGCGCACUGUAAUCCUCGUGGGUCGCUCAGGGGUUCUGUCAUUUAGCGGUGUCCGAUUGUGCGUAGCAACCGCACUUCGAGGUUUUCACCGCACUCCGAGGUUCCUGCAGCAGGAGGGAGCCACCACGUGUGCUGCGGCGACUUGGCGCGCGCGGUGGCAGGGCCCUUACCGCACUUCAAGGAGUGUGGCACCACGGGUGCCGCGGUAACUCGGCGCGUGUGGUGGCGAGGUUCUUCACCGCGCCUAUAAAAGGGCGCGGUGGUCAUGGAGCAGCUCCGAGCGAAGCCAAGAGGAUGGCUACAAAGGCGAGGGAGGCCGCAGAGACGCGAUGGAGGUGCAUGCCACCCGCGCUCAGUGCCGGUGGGUGCACGGCCAUCAUGUCCUUGUCGCAUCCCUCCACCAGGCAGUUCCGAGGCGAGGGUUGCCGCGGAGACGCUUUGGUGGCGCCGCCACCGGUGCUUGGCACUGGCGCCGGCCCCGCCACAGCGUUCCUACCGCAUCCCUCAAGCAGGCAGGUUCAAGGCGAGGGCCAUUGCGGCGGCGCUCUGGGGGUGCAUGCCAUCAGUGCCUAGCGCCGAUAGGUGCACUGCCAUAGCGUCCUUGCCGCGCCCCUCCGACAGGCAUUCCGAGCGCAAGAACGAACAGCUAAGUGCAUGAUCUUGGAUGCUGAACUUUCUGACGCUAAACAUUGGCUCGCUGGUGUGGCUCGAGCCGUCUGUGUGACUGGGGUGUUAGAAGGACGCUUGCGGGGCGAGUGCGCUCCACGUGCGGCUUGCGGGUCCGCCCCGUGAGUGCAUGCUUGGGAGUAGCUAUCCCGCGAGCGGAGUGGCUCGCCGCUGCCACUUGAUCCCAGGUCGGCACUGCGGGUCCGUCUUGGGUCCCUGGUCUGAUUAAGUGUGUGGCAUGCGAGUCCCCGGCAACACAGGGCAUAACACACGAAGGCCGGGAGAUCCACCCCGCGAGUCAAUCCCGGGAAUGAGAAACGAGUACUAAGUAGAACCAAAGAACGAAGUUCAUAAAGGCAACAAACAAUUACAUGAACUAAUAAAACAUUAAUUGUUUAAACGGUGCCGAGCGCGACGCUUGCAGGAAUCAAAGAUAAAAACACGAAGACAAAACGAGGACUGGCAGGGCGCUGCGGUGACUAGUUGCCGGCGUCUUCCGCUGGGGGCUUUGGCUCCGGCUCUGGCUCUGGCUUCCUCUGCUUCCGGUCCACCACCUCGUCGAAGAACCUGCUCACUGCCUGGCAGUGGGUGGGGCCAUCCUCGCUGUCAGACCAGGCAUCUAGUAGCGUCUCGAAGGGGAAGACCGGGUGGCGGAGGUGCACUCGGGGAAGGAUCGUCCCGGCGAUAUCCCUGGCGCACGUGGCGAUCUCCUGGUCGCAGAACAUGGAGAUCCACACGUCAAGCACCCCGAGCUUCCCCACCAUGUCGGAGAAGAACGGGAUCAGCGUGCUGACGUCCGUAUCGUCCACCUGCACGGUCUGCAGCUCGAAUCACGGUAGCAGGUCGAGCACUGCCUUGGCGAUCUCGAGCAGCUUUAGGGACUCCCUCCGGCGCUGCUCCACCAGUGUGGCAUGGUUGCUGCGUGCCAGCACCACAACGUGCUUAGACUUGCGGAGAAGGUCCGCCUACCGCGCGAUCUCCUUGGCCUUGGCCACGUUGUCCUCGCCUGCCUUGACGAGCUCCUCCCUGGCGGCAGCAAACUCGGACUCGAGCUGGGCACUCUUCUCCUUGGCAGAGUUGAGCUCCUUCUCCCGCCGUACCGACGCCACUGCCGCAUCCUCCGCAGCCUUAGCCUGCUCCUCCAGUUGGUGCGCAGCCCCUGGAGUUGGGAGAGGUAGCUGCAGACCAGCUCGCUUUUCUCGUUGAGACGAGCCUGGGCCGUAGCGAGCACCUCCUCAUGCACUUUCCUGGCCUUCGCUUGCGCCGUGGCCAGCGAGUCUAGAGCCAUCCGGUGGAGCCCCGCUUUUGGGACGAUCGGCGCUGCGGCUUCGACCCUGGCCUGCCGCAGCCGGGAGAGCUCCUGCCGCUCCCUCUCAACGGCCUGUCACACCACGCCAAGCUGGCCCUUCGCGAGCUCGUGGCGCUCCCUCACCUGGUUGAAGGAGGUGACGAACGCCAGCUGCUGCUCCUUGAUCGCGUCAAGGAACUGGUGCCCCUGGUCAUAGAUGCUUGGGUCCCAAGUCAGCCCGACGAGAAUGCCGGAGUCCGGGCCGAAGGCAGCAGAAGACGACGACGAGGCCCCCGCCACCACUGUUUGGCCGGGAGGUGCGUCGUCCCCCUGCAGCGGAGCCUCCUGCUGCUUCCCUGCCGCAGCCUCCUCCACGCCCGCGCCCAUGGGUUGCGGGGGUGGCGGAGUUGCCGUUCCCCCGGCAGGAGGUGCCUCCUGUCGGGUGACCGCGGGAUCCGCGUCCUCGGCCUGCACGGACCGGGACGCGCCACCGAGCUUCGCCCUGGUAGUGACGGCGGGCGCCGCCACCGUCGUGUCCGCCGCGCAGGAGCUGGGCGCAGGAGCCUCUUCCGGCUCCUCCCUUGCCUCCGCGUCCUCGGCGUCGGAGCCGAGGUCAACCACCAUGUUUCCGCUCCCGUUGUGAGCACGGUCGGGACUGUGACAAAGAGUGAAAUUAGAACCUAGAAAUAAGAUGAAUUGCCCAGUGAUGAACGCAAGAACGCUCCGAAUGAGUACCUUGCAGGGCCGCCGAGCUUGCGGGAGGUGCUUCCUCCUCUUCCGUCCCGGCUGCUGUUGCCGGGCCACAUGCCGCGGGCAGGGCUUCGCCUACGAGUCAAGAAGGCAGCACGAUUGCAGGUCAGCAAACGGGAUUAACUUGUGCAAUGGGAUCAAGAGAGGGGUCAUGUAACAGCCCAAGAGCAACUUUUACAUUUAAGCCCAGCGCGGCCCCGCUUCUCCCAGCGCGCCCCACGUUCCGCCUUCCCGCGUCAAAAACGUAAUCUGGGAAAUACGCUUUGUCUCACAGAGCCUUUUCCUCCUCCUGCCUCCCUCUGCUUUUUCCUCGUCCUCCACUCAGCUAGCGCCACGUCCUCCCUUUUGACGCGACGGCCUUGGCUGCGCCUCCUAUUUGAGCUGCUCCGCGCCCUCCUCUCAACCCUAGCACAGGGAAAGCCCUAGAAGGACUUUCCUCCCUCUCCUUCUGUUCGCCGCCGCCAUCUUCUUCCUGGCCGCGGGCGUCUUCACGUCGCGCCGCCGUUCCAGCCCGAACCAAGAAUAACCGCGCACGUCACCUUGUUCGCUCGGAGCUGCUCUUCGUCUGGACGCGAGGAAUCGACCGAAGAUCGCCUACGUCGUCGCCUAGCUCCUCUUCUUCAACUCCGGCCGCCGCCGACAGCGAGCCUCCCCUCGCACGAUCUCGUGCACGGUGAGCUCCGCCUCGUCGUUGCGCCUCUGUCUCUCACUUCCCCUCCCUCUAGAACUCCCUGUAGCGCUAGGACGACGAGACCACGCCAUGGACGCCGCCGUCGAGCUUCGGAUCCGUGCCGUGCGCACGUGCAAGAGGGGCUUGUGUGGUGGCCGUCGAGCCACCUUGCCCUUUUGUAACAUCCCAAAAAUUCAAACUCUUUCAUAUGCAUUGCAUCCAUGAGCAUCAUGCCACAUUUGCAUGUUUGAAUUCAAAUUUUAAUUCCAAAAAGGCUUUAAGAAGAUUUUAUUCCAUUUUAAAACCCUAGUAUUUCACCCAUUUGAGCUUUGGAUCUCUAAACCAAUAGGGUUUAUCUAUAAAAGGGGUUUAUUGCAUAAAUAAACUAUCCCAUAAUUUUUUGAGUAUUUAUUGGAGUUGAAAAACUAUUUUAUUUAAAUAGUUAUAUAGCCCUAAAGGCACUUAUAGCGCAAAUGUAUUUUUAUAUAUUUUUUUUGGAAGGGAAAUUACUCCCAAAAGUUGAAUCAUGCUAUAACAUGAUUAUACAAAUUUUCUAGAAUUUAUUUGGAUCAAUUUGGAGUUCAAAAUCAAAAGACAUCAAAGAAAACAGAAAAAGAAAAAGAAAAGAACAAAAAAAAAAGAAAACCGGACCGGCCCGGCCAUUUUGGGCCGAACCGGCCCGGUCCCACCCGAGCCCGCCGAGCCUGGUCCGCGCGCCACUGACAGGUGGGGCCCACCGGUCAGGGUGUUCGUCCUCGAUGUGAAUUAUUACUUGGAACUUGUACUUUAUGACCAUGUUACUGUUUAUCAUAUUUGGGCAAAGUGUAACCACUGUUAUCAUUCAUCUUACUAGCUAAUGGAUAAUCUAUUUCUCUAAAUGCCUAGAACUUUUGAUUAAAUUGGAUGCAUCAUUCUAUCACAUGCCAUGCAUCCUUGUUUGCGCAUUGCACCCAAUGAAUGCUUAUUCUACCUACCUUGUGUGUUUGGAUCUUAUCGUUAGCGACUCCGACUUACUCAGUCGAUGAUCCGGGUUCCCACACUUCUUCGGAUCCCCUCUCUCGGUGCCCAGCGACCGAGAAUCCAGGCAAGCAGCCAUUCCUUGAACAUGUUGAUUAUACCCAAUGCCUCUCUCUCGUUCUUGCAUUAAGUUAUGUUCUCAGUUCUUGUCACGAUGCCUCUAGGAAUUGCAUAGCUUUAGUCAGCUCUACUCAAAUGCAUGUUGUCUUGUUCCUUAUCCUAUUACCAUGUCACAUGUUUGUUAUUGUCCUAGUUGGUCAUUAGAAGUCUUGCUUAGAUGGCUAGUCUAGUGUCCUUACUUGGGGUUAUACACUUGCUACAUCCACAUGCUACUUUCUGUAUUUAAUUGUAAUUAUUAAACUGUGACCUGUUACUACCUGCACAAGGCAACGAUGGGACGCCGUGCUAACGCAUUGGUGUUUUGUUCCAUUGGCGCCGACCUAAGGAUUGAGUUCUCGUUUUCUCCGACCCAAGAAACUUCGCGCUAACCGCUCGUGGGAGAAUAUAUGGGUUCCCCCUCGGCUUAGUACUUGUUUCAUAGCUCUUCCAGGGGCCACAUAGUUCGGGCGUUCCAUUUGGCAUAUCGCAUAUACGCUGGUGUUGUGUUUGGAGAUUUGUUGGUACUUUGCAUACAUAUAGGAUUGCGGCACUAGUCUGGAGUGGUCAUUCUGCGGACACUGAACCACUACCAGCUGUCCUCGCAACAAUUGAGUCCGUACGAUGCUUCAGCCAGGCUCUCGUUUCGGCUUAGACUCCGUUGGGUGGUCCCCUGGAUUAGUUGUGGGGCUUGGAAACAUCGUGUCGCCCAAUCCUGCCGACACACGUCUUUGUGUGUUCCUACUCGAGUGGCAACAAGGUUUGGACGAACGUGUACGGGUAAAUUGGCACACCCUACAGGGAUAAACCUUUCGGAAAGCCGUGUCCGCGGUUAUGGACGACUUGGUUGGUCAUUACUUGAUCAUAGAGAACUCACUCAUUUUAAUUAAUUUAAUCUCUUGAACUUGAGUAGUAAUUAGCCUUUCAUCAUGGAUAUGCUUAAAACUACUUAAGCGUGAAUGCCUUUGGAUCAUUUCCUCACAAUGGGUUGGGGGGGGGGGUGAUAAGAGGUUGUGUUUGCUUGGUGUUAGUUGUUAGAAGAUCACCUCACUUAGUAGACGCUCCUGAUCCUCUAAUUAGACGAUGUCAUUAGUGUGUCUCUCCAGAUAUAUUGCUGCUGCAUAACCCCACCAUAUUAUCCAUCCUUUGAGACUUCUUGCACCUAGUUUAGAUUUCCCGUAAGUCUUGCGAGUACUUUGUACUCAGUUGCUUUGCAACGUUGUUUUCUCCAGAGUUCCUAGAGGAUCAGGUGAGUGGUUACUUCGUGGAGUUUGACAACGACAGCUUCGACGUUUAGCCAGAAGAUUCUAGAGCAGGGUUCUGUGAACUUGUGGCGGGCUCUCCUUUCAGUUUCAGCCUCUUAGGCAAUAAUUGUAAACUUGUCCGUACUCGGGCCUAAUUUGCUUCCGCUGGUGUAAUAAUGAUUGUGGACAUGUGUCCGUGAGUUGUAAUAACUUUGCAUUUCGCUCCUUGUAUGAGCUUGACUUAAUCUUGUGUCUUAGAAGUGAUGUAAUGAUAUCAUUUUUUUUCCAACAUGCGGUGAACAAAUUGCGUGUAUGUUGUGAAGUGUUCAUCCUAGGGAGGCACUGGGACUUGAUUUAUGCGCGAGUUAGCAUUUGGGGCUAAAUUGCAUAAAUUCAGUCUCGGGGUCUCACAAUUUGGUAUCAGAGCCUCGCUGCCCUUAGAUUUCUCCCUGGUUAGAAAUGGUCGAAGUUAAGUCUAGUAACUAUUUUCAUCUCGAAACUAUUUGAAAAAUGGAAAAGUAGACUCUGAUUUUUCUUCUUUUCCCACCCACGCACCCUUCUUGUUUUGGAAAAUUCCCUCUUUUCCUCAGUUUGUAAACUAGGUAUCUCGGGGUUUGUUAUCCGUAGUUCCUUUUAGUUAGUGGCAUUCAAGUUCUUUUGUGGUUUUAGUUGUCAGAGAAAAGACCAUUCCUUCUUGUUUAGCUCAUAUCUAUAGUGCAUAGAUAAAGCUAGUUCUUCCAAAGUUCUAAUCCUGCAAUCACUUUCUUUCAGAUGUCGCUCUACAGGUGGUCUUGAUGUCCAACUGUGAGACUACCCCUGAGGUGCUCCGUGAGAUCAUGAGGCAAAUCGGUUUCCGAUACCAGCCGGAGUACACGGUAUUCGAGGAUUACCGUGACUUCAACCAGGAGUACUACCGUGCCGUUGUCCGCCUCCACCAAGAUCUGCCUUCAGAAAAGUUUCCAGUGGACAAAGCAGUGGGAACUGGGCAUACCAUCGAGUUGGCAAUCCAACAGGUGGCGUACAUGUGCGUGACCCUACUCCGCAGGAAGUACGAAAGGCUGGACAAAGGACCGUUCAAGUACAUCCCAAGGGGCUUCAUCACGUGCGAGAACAAGUUCUUCACACUUCCAGGCUUGCCCGACGAGAAGGUUGCGAAUGACAGCUACGAUUUCUGCAACUUCGUGUCAAGCCAGGAGCACAUGAUGGCAAACAUGCGUGCUGAGGUCGAGCACUACUGCAAGCAACUAUGGAUAGCACUCAGUCACCUCUCCGCCGUGGUUGAUGCAGGAAUGUACGAGAAUGAAGUUCGCUAUCCUCCGAGACCUCCUGCUCCUCAGAUGCUCCAUGCGUUUCCAAUGGAUGGGUUUACUCCAGCACGUGGGCCACCAAGAGUGUUCAAGAGUACGUACCUUCCGCGUCAGUUCCUGUACGGGGAACAGAAGGCAGAUGCGUAUGUGUUUCCGUACUCUCCGCAGCUACUGCCGACGUUUUGAUAGCUUUAUCAAGAUAGGUCUCUUGUAUCCGUAGUUCCAUCUAUGGCCACACUUCCUGUGCGAUGUGAAUGGCAAGAUAAGUAGUGUAAUCUUUCCUUUGCUUUGGAUGAUUGUAAUCACUAAAUCUUUGGAUGGCACUAUGUGGUAUCUCAGACUUCAUGUUAUCCUUUAAUCCUGUCUUUGAGGUUUUACGUCAUGCACUAUGUUUCAACUAUUGUGUAAACCAUUGUGCAAACAGGAUGGCACCUGUUCGUCGUGAUCCUCCUCCUCCGCCAGAGUUAGGCAACAUACUGCUUCAGAUGGAACAAAUAAUGACCAGCAAAACAAUUAGGGCAACAAUUCAAACAAUGGGACUAAUGGCAGGGUUUCCAUCAAGGAUUUCCUUGCUCUCAAUCCAAGGACUUUCUCUCUACCGUCAGAACCACUUGAUGCUGAUGACUGGCUUCGUGAGAUGGUCCGCCCUCAUUGCACGGUUCGUGUGGCAAAUGAGGACAAGGUUCCUUUUGCGACCUACGUCCUUCGAGGUGAAGCAGCCGCAUGGUGGGAGAAUUUCCAAGCUUCCAAGCACCCUGAUGAAUUCAUCACUUGGUUUGACUUCCAGGACGCUUUCCUAAAGCACCACAUCCCAGCUGGUCUGAUGGACAGAAAGCGUGAGGAAUUCUGCAGUCUGACUCAGGGCAAGAGUUCUGUUCUCGAAUGCUGCAAGGAUUUCAACCGUCUUGCUUGCUAUGCUGGCGAUGAGAUCUCUACCGACUUGAAGAAACAACAAAAGGUUUCGCAAGGGUCUCAGUCCGUCGCUGAAGUAUGCUCUCAAUCUCAUCAGGUGCAAUUCUUUUGAAGGCUUGGUCAAUACUGCUCUGCAAGCUGAGUAUGGCCGUGCACAAUUUGAGGAUUCUCGCAAACACUCUCAUGAUAUUGGGUCUUCUUCCUCAGGCAACAACAAUGUUGGUUCUCAAAAACGGAGGUUGUGGGUUCCCAACAACGCAACUGUCCGUCCAGCAUAUGGUCAGAAGAAUGGUGGUCAAGGUUCCCGCCCAACCUCCCAGGCUGUCUCUCUCAAGAGCUACAAUGGGCAGCAAAGACCUCAGAAUCAGAACAGUGACACCAGAGUCUGUUACAAGUGCAAACAGCCAGGCCACAUUGCUACUCACUGCCCUCUGAAUCAGAUUCAGGCAGCACCUCGCCCUCCUUCAAGCCAGGCGAUGGUUCCAGCUCAGGGUAAUCAGCAAAGCUCUUGUGACAACAACAAGUCUAAUGCCAACCGUGCCCGUGUCAACCAUGUUAAUGCUGAGCAAGCAGAGGAAGCUACCGAUGUUGUCAUCGGUAAUUUGCAUGUUAAUUCUGUUCUUGCUAAAGUAUUAUUUGACACUGGAGCAUCGCAUUCUUUUGUUUCGCACUCUUUUGCACAAGCAAUUGACUAGCAACAAGACACCUUGCUUAACCCUGUUCUAAUCCAAACCCCUGGGUCCCAGUCGAGUUCAAUUAAGAUAAGUCGUGGCAUCCGAAUCCAAAUCGGCAAUCUUGUCUUCUUUGCCGACCUCCUAGCCCUCGGACCCUCUGACAUUGAUGUCAUUCUAGGGAUGGAUUGGCUUAAACCUCAUCAAGUUUUGAUAGACUGUGCUGCUAAGUCUGUCAUUCUAACACGUCCCACUGGCCAGAUAGUCACUUUCCACUCUUUUAAGGCCACAAACACCCAGCUCUACUCUCUAGACGCAAAGCCACUUCCAACUUUGGAAUCUGUUAGGGUGGUUUGCGAAUUCCCGGAUGUUUUUCUUGAAGACUUACCAGGCAUGCCUCCCGACAGAGCGGUUGAGUUUGUGAUCGAACUCGAACCAGGAACUGCUCCUGUUCAUAGCCGUCCUUACAAGAUGUCUCCACCAGAGUUGGCGGAACUUAAAAGACAACUUGAAGAGUUGGAGAAGAAAGGAUACAUCUGUCCAAGCUCCUCUCCUUGGGGUUGUCCCACUCUGUUUGUCCAGAAGAAGGACAAAACCGAACGUUUGUGUGUUGAUUAUCGUCCUCUUAAUCAACAUACAAUCAAGAACAAGUACCCACUUCCUAGGAUCAACGAUCUGUUUGACCAACUAGCCGGAGCCGCAAUUUUCCCAAAACUUGAUCUACGCUUAGGGUAUCAUCAAAUCAAAAUCCAGAAGGAGGACAUUCCAAAGACCACUUUCACUACUCGUUAUGGUCUUUACGAGUACACGGUCAUGUCUUUUGGCCUCACCAAUGCUCCAGCUACCUUCUCUCGUCUAAUGAAUUCUAUUUUCAUGGAAUAUCUGGACAAGUUCGUUGUGGUCUACUUGGAUGAAAUUCUUGUCUACUCUUAAUCCGAGGAAGAACAUGAAGAACAUCUUCGCCUCAUCCUUUCCAAACUUCGUGAAAAUAGACUCUAUGCUAAGUUCUCCAAGUGUGAGUUCUGGCUUCCAGAAGUCAAUUAUCUUGGUCACGUCAUCUCAGCAAAGGGAAUUGCUAUCAAUCCGGAGCGAAUUCAGGACAUUGUUGGGUGGUCUCAACCCAAGAAUGCAAAGCAAAUCCGGAGUUUCCUUGGUUUGGCAAGUUAUUGCCGACGUUUCGUCCCCAAUUUCUCCAAAAUUGCCAAGCCUUUGACCGACCUUCUCAACAAAGAAGUUUGUUUGGACCUCUCAGUGCGAAGAGGGCUUUAAACUUUUGAAGGAAAAACUCACUACACCUCCAAUCUUGGCUCCUCCAGAUACUACUUAACCUUUCCAAAUCUAUUGCGAUGCAUCUCGCCAAGGUCUAGGCGCUGUCCUUUUCCAAGAUGGGCAAGUUGUGGCAUAUGCGUCUCGCCAACUUCGUCCAAAUGAACUCAACUAUCCCACGCAUGAUCUUGAACUCGCUGCAGUUGUUUUUGCAAUAAAAACAUGGCGGCAUUAUCUUGCUGGUGUACCUUGUGAGAUCUUUACGGAUCAUAAGAGCCUCAAGUACAUCUUCACCUAGCCUGAUCUCAAUCUCAGACAGCGACGAUGGAUGGAGUUGAUCUCAGAAUACAAUCUGUCGAUUAAUUACACUCCAGGCAAAGCUAAUGUUAUGGCCGAUGCCCUUGGUCGCAAAUCUGAUUGCAACUCUCUCACAGUCACAGAAUUACCUCCUGACCUUUGUGAAGACUUCAAGAAUCUUAACCUCGAGCUUGUUCCGAAAGGUUAUCUUGAAAUCUGGUCGUCACUUCUGUUUCAUCCUUGGAAGACAGAAUUCGUAAAGCUCAGCUCCUUAUGAUUUGGUCAAGAACGUUUCUGAUCAGAUAAAAACUAAAGAUCCCAAAGCUAAGAAAUUCUCACUUGAUGACAAAGGAACUGUGUUCUUUGAUGAUCGCAUGGUUGUUCCUAAUAAUCAAGACAUAAGAGAUUCUAUUCUCAAAGAAGCCCAUGACACACCUCUUGCUAUCCAUCCCGGUUCUACCAAGAUGUAUCAAGACAUCUGAAAGAGCUAUUGGUGGACUGAAAUGAAAGAGCAUAUUGCUAGAUAUGUGUCUGAAUGUGAUGUAUGUCGCCGUGUUAAGGCAGAGCAUCAGAAGCCUGCUGGUCUUCUUCAACCUCUGAGUGUUCCAACAUGGAAGUGGGAGAAGAUCGAAAUGGACUUCAUCACUAGGUUUCCGAAAUCUCGCAAGGGCAAUGAUGCAAUAUUUGUGGUGAUUGACCGACUUUCUAAAGUCACUCACUUCUUGCCUGUCAAAGAAACAAUCUCAGCUAGUCAAUUGGCCGAAUUGUACACUGCCAGAAUUGUCUCUCUCCAUGGUGUCCCAGUUGAAAUAAGCUCCAAUCGUGGAAAUAUCUUUACAUCCAGAUUUUGGGAAAGCUUUUAGAAGGCAAUGGGCACUUAUCUCGUGUUCAGCACCGCUUUUAAACCUCAAACUAGUGGUCAAGUUGAAAGUGUAAAUCAGGUCCUUGAAGACAUGCUUCGAGCUUGUGUCAUGUCCUUUGGUCUGAAAUGGGAAGAAUCUCUGCCGUUUGCGGAGUUCUCUUACAACAAAAGCUAUCAAGCAAGUCUGGGCAUGGCGCCAUUCACUUUCCUCUAUGGUCGCAAAUGUCGCACUCCCUUGAUGAUGAGGACAUCCCAACUAAUGAUACAACCACAGCCCCUACAGCACAUACACCUCAAGUACCGGAGAUACAUGGACCAAUUACUAGAGCUCGUGCACGACAACUAAAUUAUCAGGUACUUUCGUUCCUCGGUACUUCAUUUAAUAUUAAUGAGAACAUGCUGCUGCCUAAGAUGGGUUCUUUUAUGUGUUUUAGGAAUGAAGGACCUAGCUUGCACCUCAAGGAUCAGCGUUGGACAGCAAACCAUGGAGGUGGCAGCAAGGUGGCGGGAGCUAGCUCAAGUGAUGAUUUCAGAACAUUGAAACCGCCAUAACGAGAGAUGAGAAGAAGGCCGCAUCCUCUUCAUCAAUGGGAUUUCGGCCAAGUGGAGGAUUCUCCCUCCAAUGGGUAUCUAUGGGCCAAAGAUGAGGGUUAUAACCUUGGUUUAUUGGGCCUAAGGCCAUGUAAUAGGGUCCAGCCAAUUUUUAGAUGUUUUCGCUGUGUUUUAGGAGGAUUCCUAGGCCGUUUCGGAGUCCCUCAAGGACCUGUCCGAAAACCACCUAGUUCCCCUCCUAUUUAUACCCCAUGUGCCCCCCAUGGAGCCUUGGGUUUUGAUUAGAUAAAGUUUAGCCUUUGCUACUUUCGUGUAAUCGCGUGUGUCGGUUAGACCACCUGUUUUACCGUCAUCAAGACUCCAACUAUAUUGAGUAUUCAGAUUCGUGAACCUUCAUAUCUCCUAUUCGCAAUUUCAGAUUGCUUUUCAUCUUGUUCUUGCUUGUUCUUCGAUUGCUUGCAGGAACAAAGACCUUCGUGGUCAGGUUGAUCGUGCCCCCGCGGGAUCAAUAACCUUCUGGAGUUGGUGUAUCGAUCGCUAAGGCGCUGCCUCCUAGGUUGUAGUCGGAUCGUCAACGUCACCUCCUACCAAAUCGAUAAUUAGGUAUCUCAUCGAAAGAUCGGGACACCCUCGAGGCUAUCACGUGGUAUCAGAGCUUAAGGUUGCUCGGUGAGAUUUUUCCAGUUUAUCCGUAGUUUAGAUCUGUUUUUACCUAUCGUCCAGAAAAAGCCAAACAAAAAUUAGAAUUAGUUACCUUGUCCUAGAACCAAUCUGAGCCUUGCAAUUUUCACAUUAGUAUUUGCAUUGUUGAAUCUUUGCUGCAUUAAUCGUGUCGAGUUGCUGGAUUAGAUUGGAUCGUUUUUCAGAUUUUUUCUACUAGAUCGAACUUGCUUUUGGUUUUCUUGUUCUUCGUGUGACGCAGGUUUCCUUCAUCAAUCUUCCACCGCCACCAUAUCUUCCACCGAGUCCCUCUUCGAGUCCUACACCGAGUCCUUCUUCCAGUCCUACACCGAGUCCCUCUUCGAGUCCUACACCGAGUUCCUCUUCGAGUCCUACACCGAGUCCUACAUCGAGUCGGCAAGUUAUAGUUUUCAGCCGCGAGUUUGAGUCCGAGUCCAAUCAAGAGUGCUUUUGGAAAGUGUUUCAUAAUAGAUCGAUUUUUGUUUAGAGAUCAAGUUGUUCGGAAAGUUGUGAAAAAAAAAAGAAGGGAAAGAAAAAAAAAGGAAGAAAGAAAGGAAAAAAUACGGAAAAAAAAAAAGAGAGAAAGAGUUCGAGUCAGUUUCGGACCCGAGUCCGAGUAGAAUUUUAGUUUCGGGUGGGUUUGACCCGUGUUCAGUAAAACGGACGUAUCUUUUGCAUACCAACUCGGAUUUGGACGUUUUUGGACUUUUUGGAAAGCUCACGACGAGGCGCAUCAGGAAAUAUCCAGGGCAACGCCCUGCACUUUGACCCUCAAAUUCGGCCUCUAAGGUGGACUUUUCGAGCUCCAAAGUUUCUGCACCCGUUUUACGGCACCGGGGCAGCGCAGUAUAUCUCAGUUUUCUCCACCGUCCGACCUCCGUUUCGAGUGAUCUUGCACUUGUUGGAAAGCUUGUUUUGAUACGCUUCUAACCCAUAUUUUCUCAUAUUUUUCUGAGUUUUCCUUACUACAGCCUUUAAUAUUCUCCUACAGACCGACGUGCAGCUUUCCGGUCUUAACUUCUUUUGCGUGAGUUUCUGGGGAUAAAAAAAAAUAGAAAAGAAUAAGAAGCCAAACAGAAGGCCACAAAAAGAAAAAAAAAGAGAGAAAAAAUAUUCCCCAGAGAUUUACUUGUUUUACCUUUCAUUUGAUCUUUCCUUUCUACCUUUUUCAGUAUCUAGGCUUAGUUAAUUUCUGUAAUUCGUUCUUGUCGACUCCAGCAACUAGGACUAGCAUUUUUGAGCAUAUUUUCAACUUUGCAUUGCUGAUUUGAUUAUUUGCUUUUCCUUGCUACUCACAUAAGCCUCCAAGCUCCACAGAUUCUACACCUAGGUUGGUUUGCCUCGAGGCAUCGAUACACUAAUCUUCGGAGGGCUUGUUCUCGCCGCUGGCCAUCACCUUCCUGUUUGCGGGGUAAGAACGAGUAAGAACUUGAUUAAAAGUUGAGUGGAGUGAUCUUUGGAACCCCACAUCCUAGUAGUGCAUAGGGACUUUUCCUUGUGAUUUGUUUCUUGUUUUUUCCUAACGAUGGCAUGUUCUGACGAUGAUUUACAAGGCCACUCUCCACGCACAAAGGGCAUUAUUUCACAUUUUGAUCGCAAGCUUAGGCUCCGUAACGAGGAGCUGGAUGAGGACGUUCGGGUUGCGAAUGAGAGACUUGGAACCUUGGAGAGCGCGCACAUUGAAACAAAUACCAAGCUAACAUCUUUACAGAAUUCUGUUGCUACCAUUAGUACUUCUCUGGCAGAAAUCACGACGCAACUGGCGGCAAUUGCUGCAACGACCAUCGCUACACCGGGAGGAAACAAUACACACAACCAGCGGACCGCUAAUAAGGGUACCUUCGCAAGCGAGGUUGAGGAGAACGACGACGACUACUCCGCGGAUACGGAACACGACGGGGCCGUAAACCAUCACAACGACCGUGAUCAUCGCCGAACUCGUUUCAACCGCCGAGGUAUGGGACCGACACGACCUCACAGAGAGGAACAUGACUCGCUGCAUUCUAUUAAACUUAAGGUUCCUCCUUUUGAUGGAAAAUAUGACCCUGAUGCUUACCUUACAUGGGAAUUAGAAUUGAGUCAAAAAUUUACUUGCCAUGAUUUUUCUGCUAAUAAGAGGGUUAGGGCUGCUACUAGUGAGUUUACUGAUUUUGCUUCUGUUUGGUGGCAUGAGUAUUGUAUUGCACAUCCUAACGCUAUACCACCAACAUGGGAUGAUUUGAAAAGAAUUAUGCGCGCUAGAUAUGUUCCUUCAUACUAUUCGCGUGACUUGUUAAAGAAACUACAACAAUUAAGACAAGGUAGUAAUUCUGUCCAAGAUUAUUAUCAAGAAAUGCAAAAGAACAUGUUACGUUGUGGUUUAGUUGAGAAUGAGGAAGCUGCUAUGGCUAGAUUCUUUGGUGGUUUAAAUCGUGAAAUUGCUGACAUUGUUGAUUAUAAGGAGUAUAAUUCUAUCAAUCGAUUGUUUCACAUUGCUUGCAAAGCUGAAAGGGAAGUGCAGGGACGACACGCGAACGCGCGGACUAACUUUUCUGCAGGUCGUACUUCCUCAUGGGCAGCACGCAGCCCCGCUGCCCCUUCCACACGCCUAGCUGCACCCCCUACACGUCCGGCUGUUCCGACUACUUCCACCAACAAGCAAAGUACCUCUACACCUACAUCCGCAAAGGUUGGACCAGCAGCAACAAGAAAUACACCCGCUGCCUCUGCACAAAGUUCAGCAGCGUCCGUUGCUUCCACCGGACGGACCGGAGAUAACCAAUGUCGUAGGUGCAAAGGAUACGGGCAUUUUCAGCGGGACUGUCCAACCAAACGCGUUAUGAUCAUACGUGAAGACGGAGUAUAUGAUUCAGCCAGUGAUUUUGACGAAGCUACCUAUGCUCUCAUUGUCGAGGAAGAGCAAGACGACCCCGCUGCCCACCAUGAUGAGGAGUUAAUGGGAGCUGAAGCCGCUGAUCAGUACUUGAGUUUGAUUGCACAACGCACCUUGAGCGUCCAAAUGAGCCACGCCGAACAAAAUCAGCGGCAUAACUUGUUCCAAACAAAAGGGGUCAUCAAGGAACGCGCUGUUCGUAUCAUCAUAGAUGGGGGAAGUUGCAAUAAUUUGGCCAGCACGGAGAUGGUGGAAAAACUUGUUCUUACCACCAGGCCGCACCCCCACCCUUACUACAUUCAAUGGUUUAACAACAGCGGUAAGCUCAAGGUAACUAGAACAGUCCGUGCACACUUUACUAUUGGUACAUAUUCUGAUUUUGUGGAUUGUGAUGUGGUACCUAUGCAAGCAUGUUCUAUGUUACUCGGUCGUCCAUGGCAAUAUGAUACAGAUUCUGUUCAUCAUGGUAGAACUAAUCAUUAUUCUUUUAUGCAUGCUGGUAAGAAAAUUGGUUUGAAACCUAUGACUCCUGAACAAAUUGUGAAAGAUGAUCUUGCUAGAGCUAGUAGAGCAAAGAGCAAAGAGAAGGAUAAGAGUGAGAACCAUAAUGUCGCUAAAGAAUUUAAGCACCAAGCGUCUACUAGCAAAUCUGAACCGAAACAUGUUAAUGAAAUUAAAUUGAAAGGUGCAUGCUUGCUUGCAAGUAAAUCCGAUAUUUCUGAGUUAGAUACGAAUAAUUCUGUUUGCUAUGCAUUCAUUUGCAAAGAGGCUUUGUUUUCAUUUGAGGAUAUGCCUCCCUCUUUGCCCCCUGCUGUUACUCACGUUUUGCAGGAGUAUUCCGACAUCUUUCCACAAGACGUACCACCAGGAUUACCACCUAUUCGAGGGAUUGAACAUCAAAUUGAUUUAAUUCCUGGUGCUUCGCUGCCCAACCGUGCGCCCUACCGUACCAAUCCAGAGGAGACGAAGGAGAUUCAACGACAAGUUCAAGAAUUGCUCGACAAAGGUUAUAUUCGUGAAUCCCUUAGUCCUUGUGCUGUUCCUGUUAUUUUGGUACCAAAGAAAGAUGGUUCUUGGCGUAUGUGUGUAGAUUGUAGAGCUAUUAAUAACAUUACUAUUCGCUAUCGUCACCCAAUUCCUAGACUUGAUGAUAUGUUAGAUGAAUUAAGUGGCUCUACCGUGUUCUCUAAAGUUGAUUUACGUAGUGGUUACCACCAAAUUCGAAUGAAAUUAGGCGAUGAAUGGAAAACAGCAUUUAAAACUAAGUUUGGACUAUAUGAGUGGUUAGUCAUGCCUUUCGGUCUUACUAACGCACCUAGCACUUUCAUGCGGUUAAUGAACGAAGUUUUACGUGCUUUCAUAGGACGAUUUGUGGUGGUUUAUUUUGAUGAUAUAUUGAUUUACAGCAGCUCUUUAGAAGACCACUUGAAUCAUUUACGUGCUGUUUUUGAUGCUUUGAGAGAUGCACGUUUGUUUGGUAACCUUGAGAAGUGCACCUUUUGCACCGAUCGAGUUUCGUUUCUUGGCUAUGUUGUCACUCCACAGGGCAUAGAAGUUGAUAAGGCCAAGAUCGACGCAAUUCAAAGCUGGCCAACUCCAACAACGGUCACCCAAGUGAGGAGCUUUCUUGGACUCGCUGGGUUUUAUCGCCGCUUUGUAAAGGAUUUCAGCACCCUUGCUGCACCGCUUAAUGAGCUCACAAAGAAGGACGUUCCAUAUGUAUGGGGCGCUGCACAAGAAGAAGUUUUUCUCAUAUUGAAAGAUAAGUUGACACAUGCUCCUUUACUCCAACUUCCUGAUUUUAAUAAGACUUUUGAGUCGGAGUGUGAUGCUAGUGGAAUCGGUUUAGGAGGUGUGUUGUUACAAGACGGAAAACCUGUUGCAUACUUUAGUGAAAAAUUGAGUGGGCCUAGUCUGAAUUAUUCUACUUAUGAUAAGGAAUUAUAUGCUCUCGUUCGGACUUUAGAAACAUGGCAACAUUAUUUAUGGCCCAAAGAAUUUGUUAUACAUUCUGAUCAUGAAUCUUUGAAGCAUAUUCGUAGUCAAGCAAAGCUGAACCGUCGUCAUGCUAAAUGGGUUGAAUUUAUUGAGUCUUUUCCGUAUGUUAUUAAACAUAAGAAGGGUAAAGAUAAUGUUAUUGCUGAUGCGUUAUCACGUCGUUAUACCUUGUUAUCUCAGCUUGAUUUUCGGACAUUUGGAUUGGAGACUAUAAAAGAACAAUACGAACAUGAUGCAGAUUUUAAGGAUGUUUUGCAGCAUUGUAAAGAGGGCAGAACAUGGAACAAGUUCGUCAUUAAUGAUGGAUUUGUGUUCCGUGCUAACAAGCUAUGCAUCCCAGAUAGCUCCGUUCGUCUUUUGUUGUUACAGGAGGCACAUGGAGGAGGGUUGAUGGGUCACUUCGCGUGAAAAAGACCGAAGAUGUGCUCGCUGAUCAUUUCUUUUGGCCUCGGAUGAGACGGGAUGUUGAGAGAUUUAUCGCUCGUUGCACUACAUAUCAAAAAGCUAAGUCACGACUCAAUCCUCAUGGUUUAUAUAUGCCUCUCCCUGUUCCUAAUGUUCCUUGGGAAGAUAUAUCAAUGGAUUUUGUUUUGGGAUUGCCUCGAACUAAGAAGGGGAGGGAUAGCAUAUUUGUUGUUGUUGAUAGAUUUUCUAAGAUGGCACAUUUUAUACCUUGUCAUAAGAGCGAUGAUGCUACAAAUGUUGCUGAUUUAUUCUUUCGUGAAAUUGUUCGCUUGCAUGGUGUGCCCAAUACUAUAGUUUCAGAUCGUGACACAAAAUUUCUUAGCCACUUUUGGAGAUGUUUAUGGGCUAAGUUGGGGACUAAACUGCUUUUUAGUACUACAUGUCAUCCCCAAACAGAUGGACAAACUGAAGUUGUUAAUAGAACAUUAUCUACUAUGCUUAGGGCUGUUUUAAAGAAGAACUUGAAAAUGUGGGAAGAAUGUUUACCUCAUAUUGAAUUUGCUUAUAAUCGUUCACUGCAUUCAACCACAAAAUUGUGCCCUUUUGAAAUUGUUUAUGGUUUUAUGCCUCGUGCACCAAUUGAUUUGUUACCUUUGCCAACUUCUGAAAAAAGUUAACUUUGAUGCUAAGGAACGUGCUGAACUUAUAAUAAAAAUGCAUGAGACGACUAAAGAGAACAUUGAGCGCAUGAAUUCUAAGUAUAAACUUGCGGGAGAUAGGGGCAGAAAACAAAUUGUGUUUGAACCUGGAGAUCUUGUUUGGUUGCAUUUGCGCAAAGAUCGUUUCCCUGAUUUGCGCAAGUCUAAGUUAAUGCCACGAGCUGAUGGUCCCUUUAAGGUGUUAGCAAAAAUUAAUGAUAAUGCAUAUAAACUUGAGCUACCUGCAGAUUUUGGGGUUAGUCCCACGUUUAAUAUUGCAGAUUUGAAGCCUUAUUUGGGAGAAGAAGAUGAACUACCGUCGAGGACGACUUCGAUUCAAGAAGGGGAGGAUGAUGAGGACAUCCCAACUAAUGAUACAACCACAGCCCCUACAGCACAUACACCUCAAGUACCGGAGAUACAUGGACCAAUUACUAGAGCUCGUGCACGACAACUAAAUUAUCAGGUACUUUCGUUCCUCGGUACAUCAUUUAAUAUUAAUGAGAACAUGCUGCUGCCUAAGAUGGGUUCUUUUAUGUGUUUUAGGAAUGAAGGACCUAGCUUGCACCUCAAGGAUCAGCGUUGGACAGCAAACCAUGGAGGUGGCAGCAAGGUGGCGGGAGCUAGCUCAAGUGAUGAUUUCAGAACAUUGAAACCGCCAUAACGAGAGAUGAGAAGAAGGCCGCAUCCUCUUCAUCAAUGGGAUUUCGGCCAAGUGGAGGAUUCUCCCUCCAAUGGGUAUCUAUGGGCCAAAGAUGAGGGUUAUAACCUUGGUUUAUUGGGCCUAAGGCCAUGUAAUAGGGUCCAGCCAAUUUUUAGAUGUUUUCGCUGUGUUUUAGGAGGAUUCCUAGGCCGUUUCGGAGUCCCUCAAGGACCUGUCCGAAAACCACCUAGUUCCCCUCCUAUUUAUACCCCAUGUGCCCCCCAUGGAGCCUUGGGUUUUGAUUAGAUAAAGUUUAGCCUUUGCUACUUUCGUGUAAUCGCGUGUGUCGGUUAGACCACCUGUUUUACCGUCAUCAAGACUCCAACUAUAUUGAGUAUUCAGAUUCGUGAACCUUCAUAUCUCCUAUUCGCAAUUUCAGAUUGCUUUUCAUCUUGUUCUUGCUUGUUCUUCGAUUGCUUGCAGGAACAAAGACCUUCGUGGUCAGGUUGAUCGUGCCCCCGCGGGAUCAAUAACCUUCUGGAGUUGGUGUAUCGAUCGGUAAGGCGCUGCCUCCAAGGUUGUAGUCAGAUCGUCAACGUCACCUCCUACCAAAUCGAUAAUUAGGUAUCUCAUCGAAAGAUCGGGACACCCUCGAGGCUAUCACUUGAACUGGACCGAGGCAGGUGAACGUCAACUCUUCGGGCCAGAUUUGAUUCAAGAAGCUGAGGACCAAUGCCGUAUCAUUUGGUAAAAUCUGUUAGCAGCUCAAUCCCGUCGAAAGAGCUACUAUGAUAACAAACACCAAGAGGUGGUGUAUGCUCCUGGUGAGCAGGCGUAUCUUCGUGUCACUCCGAUGCGAGGUACACAUCGUUCCAAUGUGAAAGGCAAGCUUGCGCCUCGUUACAUCGGCCCCUUCAAGGUGAUCGCAAAGCAAGGCGAGGUAGCUUAUCGCCUCGAGCUUCCUCCGAAUCUCACCAGGCUCCAUCAUGUGUUCCAUGUUUCCCAACUCAAACGUUGUUUCAAGGAUCCUGGUCGUGCAGUCGACCAUGAGACCAUCGAGCUCCGCGAAGAUCUCACUUACAAGGAGUCUCCAGUUCGCGUUCUCGAUGUGAAAGAAGGUCGCACUCGCAAUAAAACCCACAAAUUCUACAAGAUCCUUGUGUCUCAUCACUCUGACAAAGAAGCAACAUGGGAACGUGAAGAUCAGUUAAGCAAGGACUAUCCUACCUUUCUUGCGGAUCCCUGAGAAUCUCGGGACGCGAUUCCUUUUGGUGGGGGAGAAUUGUAACAGCCCAAGAGCAACUUUUACAUUUAAGCCCUUGUGUGGACCUGUUUGUAAUAUAAUUCUUGUUGCAUAACAUUUUACAUUUGCAUCCAUGCCAUGUCAUCACUUCUUUGUUUCACAUAAAAUUUGAAAAUUACAUUUUAAGUUGUGGCUUGAAAUCUUGUUGUUUGAAUUUGCUAGAAGAUUCAAAUAUGAAUCAUCCUUCUUUGAGUUGGAAUUCCUUUUCCUAUAUUUUUACCAAUGAUAUUCAAAUGGGUUUUGUUUUAAACCUUUACCCCAUUUGAAUAUUUCCCAAAUAGUAGUACCAUAUUUGAAUUCUCCUACUUCUCAGCUUUUCAAAAUGGUAUUUGAAAUUUGAAUCAAAAACUAUUUGCAAAAGAGAAAACAGAAAAAGGAAAUGGAAAAAGAAAAGAAAAUCUUCCCUUACCUCAGGCCGAGCCGGCCCAGCAGCCGCCUCGGCCCAACUUCUCCCGCCUGCGCGCAGCCCAGCUCUUCCUUUGCGCGCGCCAGCCAGCUCGGCCCAGCGCGGCCCAGCUUCUCCCAGCAUGCCCCGUGUUCCGCCUUCCCGCGUCGAAAACGUAAUCUGGGAAAUACGCUUUGUCUCACAGAGCCUUCUUCCUCCUCCCGCCUCCCUCUGCUUUUUCCUCGUCCUCCACUCAGGUAGUGCCACGUCCUCCCUUUUGACGCGACGGCCUCGGCUGCGCCUCCUAUUUGAGCUGCUCCGCGCCCUCCUCUCAACCCUAGCGCAGGGAAAGCCCUAGAAAGACUUUCCUCCUUCUCCUUCUGUUCGCCGCCGCCAUCUUUUUCCUGGCCGCGAGCGCCUUCACGUCGCGCCGCCGUUCCAGCCCGAACCAAGAAGAACCGUGCACGUCACCUUGUUCGCUCGGAGCUGCUCUUCGGCUGGACGCGAGGAAUCGACCGAAGAUCGCCUACGUCGUCGCCUAGCUCCUCUUCUUCAACUCCGGCCACCGACGGCUCUUCUUCAAAUUCCGGCGACAGUGAGCCUCCCCUCGGACCAUCUCGUGCACGGUGAGCUCCGCCUCGUCGUUGCGCAUCUGUCUCUCACUUCCCCUCCCUCUAGAACUCCCUGUAGCGCUAGGACGACGAGACCACGCCCUGGACGCCGCCGUCGAGCUUCGGCUCCGUGCCGUGCGCGCGUGCAAGAGGGGCUUGUGUGGUGGCCGUCGAGCCACCUUGCCCUUUGUGGAAUUCUCCAAAGGAAAGACCAUGCCCUUACCUGUUGCGCUGCUUGUUUGUGGUCGCCGGCGUCGUGCAAUUCCAUGGCCGCCGCGGCAAGCGCAAGGCAAGCACAAGAUCUGUGCCUUAUGCCAGUGGCUUGCCCCGUUCUGUUCAGAUCCAUGCGACGCGGGUUCGAAUCCUCACGGGCGCGAGAUAAAACCCCAUUUUUGGGAUUUACCGGCCACUAACAUGUGGGCCCCACGGACCCACCUGUCAGCGGCUUGGUCUACGGGCGCGUCCGGUGGAAUGAGUCCACGCGCCUGUGCCGUGUCAGGGCCACGUCAGCGAGCGUGGGUCCACACGUCAGUGCCCAUGGCUAGGACCUGACCGGUGUCUGUUGGUUUUUCUUUUUGGUUUUUGUUUUAAAAUUCCAGAAAUGCUUAAAUCUUGUUUAAUUCCUAGUAAAUGCAUGCUAAAUCCAAAUUGGGCAAACCAUAUAUGUUUUGGAAUCAGAAAAAUGCAAGAAAUUUAACUGUGCAAUUAGAUUUACACUUUGAGGUUUCAAAUUUCAAAUCUGUCCCAGAUUAGAAAUUCAAACAUACGAACAUGUGUAGCUUCUAGUUUAACAUUGGUAAUGAAUUUGAACCUACUGAAAAAAUGUGAAUUAUUACUUGGAACUUGUACUUUAUGACCAUGUUACUGUUUAUCAUAUUUGGGCAAAGUGUAACACUGUUAUCAUUCAUCUUACUAGCUAAUGGAUAAUCUAUUUCUCUAAAUGCCUAGAACUUUUGAUUAAAUUGGAUGCAUCAUUCUAUCACAUACCAUGCAUCCUUGUUUGCGCAUUGCACCCAAUGAAUGCUUAUUCUACCUACCUUGUGUGUUUGGAUCUUAUCGUUAGCGACUCCGACUUACUCAGUCGACGAUGCGGGUUCCCACACUUCUUCGGAUCCCCUCUCUCGGUGCCCAGCGACCGAGAAUCCAGGCAAGCAGCCAUUCCUUGAACAUGUUGAUUAUACCCAAUGCCUCUCUCUCGUUCUUGCAUUAAGUUAUGUUCUCAGUUCUUGUCACGAUGCCUCUAGGAAUUGCAUAGCUUUAGUCAGCUCUACUCAAAUGCAUGUUGUCUUGUUCCUUAUCCUAUUACCAUGUCACAUGUUUGUUAUUGUCCUAGUUGGUCAUUAGAAGUCUUGCUUAGAUGGCUAGUCUAGUGUCCUUACUUGGGGUUAUACACUUGCUACAUCCACAUGCUACUUUCUGUAUUUAAUUGUAAUUAUUAAACUGUGACCUGUUACUACCUGCACAAGGCAACGAUGGGAGGCCGUGCUAACGCAUUGGUGUUUUGUUCCAUUGGCGCCGACCUAAGGACUGAGUUCUCGUUUUCGUCGACCCAAGAAACUUCGCGCUAACCGCUCGUGGGAGAAUAUAUGGGUUCCCCCUCGGCUUAGUACUCGUUUCAUAGCUCUUCCAGGGGCCACAUAGUUCGGGCGUUCCAUUUGGCAUAACGCAUAUACGCUGGUGUUGUGUUUGGAGAUUUGUUGGUACUUUGCAUACAUAUUGGAUUGCAGCACUAGUCUGGAGUGGUCAUUCUGCGGACACUGAACCACUACCAGCUAUCCUCGCAACUCUUGAGUCCGUACGACGCUUCGGUCGGGCUCUCGUUUUGGCUUAGACUCGGUUGGGUGAUCCCCUGGAUUAGUUGUGGGGCCUGGAAACAUCGUGUCGUCCAAUCCUGCCGACACACGUGUUUGUGUGUUCCUACUCGAGUGGCAACAAGGGUUGGACGAACGUGUACGGGUAAAUUGGCACACCCUGCAGGGAUAAAUCUUUCGGAAAGCCGUGUCCGCGUUUAUGGACGACUUGAUUGGUCAUGACUUGAUCAUAGAGAACUCACUCAUUUUAGAUAACUUAAUCUCUUGAACUUGAGUAGUAAUUAGCCUUUAAUCAUGGAUAUGCUUAAAACUGCUUAAGCGUGAGUGCCUUUGGAUCAUUUCCUCACAAGGGGUUGGGGGGGGUGAUAAGAGGUUGUGUUUGCUUGGUGUUAGUUGUUAGAAGAUCACCUCACUUAGUAGAUGCUCCUCAUCCUCUAAUUAGACGAUGUCAUUAGUGUGUCUCUCCAGAUAUAAUGCUGUUGCAUAACCCCACCAUAUUAUCCAUCCUUUGAGACUUGUUGCAUAUAUAGUUUAGAUCUCCCGAAAGUCUUGCGAGUACUUUGUACUCUGUUGCUUUGCAACGUUGUUUUCUCCAGAUUUCCCAGAGGAGCAGGUGAGUGGUUACUUCGUGGAGUUUGACGACGACAGCUUCGACGUUUAGCCAGAAGAUUCCAGAGCAGGGUUCUGUGAACUUGUGGCAGGCUCUCCUUUCAGUUUCAGCCUCUUAGGCAAUAUUUGUAAACUUGUCCGUACUCUGGCCUAAUUUGCUUCCGCUGGUGUAAUGAUGAUUGUGGACAUGUGUCCGUAAGUUGUAAUAACUUUGCAUUUCGCUCCUUGUAUGAGCUUGACUUAAUCUUGUGUCUUAGAAGUGAUGUAAUGAUAUCAUUUUUGUUCCAACCUGCGGUGAAAACAUUGCGUGUAUGUUGUGAAGUGUUCAUCGUAGGGAGGCACUGGGACUUGAUUUAUGCGCGAGUUAGCAUUUGGGGCUAAAUUGCAUAAAUUCAGUCUCGGGGUCUCACAGGUCAGUACCUGUUGCCGGCUCCUCCCCCACUGAGAUUGGAUCAGCGGCGGGCGCCGUGGCGGCAUCGCCGGCUGUAACAUCCCAAAUUUUCAAUUUCGGAUGUUCGCAUCUUUUCAGUUCUUAAAAUUUUGGUGUUCGAUAUGAUGCAUCAUUGAAAGUGUUAGAAAUGGUGUUUUGGAAUGUGUUAGGUUGAUAGAAAUUGAUUUGAGAAUUUUCUAGAAUUUUAAUAAUGCAUUCUAGGAUUUUAUUUGGAUUUAUUUAAAGCUUAAAAACAUUAAAACUAUUUUUAGUCAUUUAUUUUUAAGUGGGAAUAAUUUUCAUGGACUCUAAAUGAAAUAUAUUAUUUUGCGGAAUUUUUGGGAAUAUUUCUGAAGCCAUUUGAUAUUUUAAAUGAUUUAAAUGCAAUUUCGGGUGAAUUAUAGAUCCUGAAAAAUAUUUUAUAAUCUUUUUCCUUUAUUUCUUUUCUUUUUCCCUGGAAUUACGCUUUCUCCGCAGGAAAGCGUAUUCUCGGAGAAGUACGCUUUCUACCCUUCUCUCUCUCUCACUGACAGGUGGGGCCCACCUGUCAUCCCCCACCUCCGGCACCACGCCCACGAUCUCCGCCAAGCGCCGCCUUCGCCGCAACUUCCCGCCAUGCCCGGACGCGCCACCGCCGCUCGCCGCUCGCGCCUGCCCGCAUCUGACCUCGUGCCCGCUUGGGCGCGCGCGCCCGCGACAUCCCGCGCCCAUGCCUGGCUGCGCCAACCGCCGCCGCCGCACGCCCCGCACCCACGACCCCGCGCCCGCGCAACCGCCGGCCACCCCGCGCAUGCGCCUCUGCCCUAUAAAAUCGCCCUCACCUGCACUCGCCCGUGCGCGCUCCCCGCGUGCCUGUGCCCCCAAACUCCGGCCGAACCGCCGUCGCUGCCACCCAAACUCCGACGAGAAAUUGCCGGAGCUGCGCCGACCGAUUCGCGAAGCCGCCGACGCCACUCUUCUUCCCGCGAAGCCGUGAACCUCGUCCAACCCUUCAUCUUCGUCCUCCAGCCUCAAUUCGUGGAGUCAUUCGUCCCAAUUGAGAUUUGGGUAUGAACUUGUUCAAGUUCUCUGAAACUUAUGUUCUUCUGUUAGCCCUGUUCUUGCGUCGAUUGUUAGCAGACCGUUGAUCAUUAUGUGCUCUAGUUUUCACCAUUGUGUAGAGUGAAUGUUUCUCUAUAAUUUCUCUAUAGACAGUAGCCGUAGAUGGUUCAUCUUGAGCACUGCAUCAUCGUCGCAAAAUUGUAUCCUAAGCAGCCUCUCUGCCGUAUCUCUGCCGCGGCAGGAAUUUGCAGCACCAUUCUUAGUGGGUAGCCUUGUUCGUAGUAGUUCUUCUUGUUGUCCGUAGCAUCAUUGUAGUUGAUUAUUUCCAUAGUUUGAACCUUAGGUACACCCCUUCAAAGAAAUUUCCUAGUUGGACCAUUUCAAUUUCACCUUCACUAGCAGCACGACGGUAGAAGUUCAUAUCCUGUACUGUUCUGUUUUCGAGUAGCCACAUUCAUCUGUUCAUAGCUACUGCCUCAUAUCUCCAUAGUUAGUGAAACUAGUGCCAUUUUGAAGAGUAGAUCAUAUUUUUGGAUUCCUUUCUUUAUUUCUCUGUCAUUGGAAUAGUUUAGCACCAGUAGCCUUUCAGUAGAAGUUAGUAUUCUUUGUCUGUCAGAAUCUGACUAGCCACCUUUGCAAGCCAGUAACUUUUGAUCUGUUUAUCCAAUUGACCUGAAACCUGUUGCGUUAGCUAGUACAACCCUAGAACUAUAUUGUAGCAUAUGUUUCAUGCCAUGUUCUGUACUUUAGCACCUUCUACCUAUCAACCCUAGUUGCAAUCUGUUAACAGUAGCAGAUUACUGAAUCUUCAGACUUAGCCACUCUAGCCUUAACCUUAGACUUUAGAACCUUGUUUGUUAAUACUAUGGUAUUACUUAGAUGAUGUUUAGGUUCUGUUUUUGUAUGCUUGUGAUACAUCCUUUAUCCGAAGUUCAUUUGGAGUUAUAUUUGGAUUUUGAGAGAUGUUUGGAACUAUGCAUUUAUUGUUGUUUCGUUCUUCGCGUUAGAUUAUUCGGAUUGCGAUUGCGACGAGUGCCAGGGAGUUGACGACCGCAACAACUUCUCUGAACCAGGCAAGUUACACUUAUUGAUCAUGUAGUACCUAUAAUUUGCUUAAGCUAUCUUGUUUACAAUGUCAUAGGGAUGCAAGUUAGAGUUAUGUCUUUAUGAAGUAUUUAUCAAAUGCGUUUUCAACAUGUUUAGUUAUUCCUAGUAGAUUGCUUAUAGGAUUUUAUUGCCAUGCCACCAAAUACCAUAGGUUAUGUAUUUACAUUUCCCCAAAGCAUGCUAUACUAUUAUAACAGGACGGGACCCAAACUAUAUUGAAAAGUAUUAACUGCUCUUUAUGAGCGAGUAUGUUUUUGGAAAAAUGUUUUCGAAAUAAAACCAAAAUGUUUUAUCUGGAUGGAGUGGUAUGAUAGAGGCCAGUUGGCUGUCGGCAAGUGUUGUAGCCCCGUAACGGGUACACGCUCAGGAGAAGGUGGGGACUGCUGUCCAGAAAUCCAAGAGUUCAAACCUUUUCAUGUACCCCAAGGCUUCUUGUGCAACCACUUGCUAUUAUGGGCUCUGCCUUGGUCGACUAACUAGCGGGAAACCCUUACCUGGGUAUCGCCAUCCGGAGAGGAGCCAAUGUGCUCAUAUGGGGCGGGCGGUGCCAGAAUUAGGUAUCAGGGGGCUUCUAGUGAAAGACUUUGUCACAAUCUUUACCUGUUACGCACGCUUGUCGUCAGGCAACACUUUGGACUGAUUGUGUCAAGUGGGUAAAGUGUACAAACCUCUCGAGAGUGUCAAUCUAAUCGAUUAGCCAUGCCCCUGGUUACGGGCGACUUUGAGUCAUUAAGUCAGGAGAAGUGGAGAUCUUCAAGUUUUGUUUUCAAAAACCCCAAAACUGUUUUGACUCGAUGGAAUGUUCCACAGAAUGACUCAGGGAAAAAGGGAUGCUAUGUGAGUGUCAGUUGACCCAGAGUGCAUAGCUAGGUCGUGGAGUGAACAUCCACAGAAUGACCAUAAUAUUGAUCAAACCCUGUUUUAUCAAAACUUCAGGAUUAGAGAUUUUCAAAAGAAAAUACUGUGAGUAUUUCGAAACUCCAAAAGCAGCAUUUUGCAAAAACAACCCUAUUAGCCAAACCAGGAAAUCCUUCAUCAUUUCCAUGCAUUCCUCCUAACCACACAGGUGUGACUUGCAAGUACAUUCAAUGUACUAACUUGCACCUAUCAUGUGCAGAGAGUGACGCUUAAGAAGAAGACGCAGGGUCACGAGUCUACACUCAACUUGCCUGUGGCGUUGAUGGGACUCCCUCUUUAUCAGUGUGUUUUAUCUGAACUUUCGCUUGGCUUGUAUUAAGUACUCUGGAUUUGUUAUUCGAACCGAUGUAAUAGACAUGUGUAUGGUAUUUCAUCAAUGGAACUGUGUGUGCUAGCAUUUGAUCCAAGGACUAGCACAGUUUACAUAGAGGUCCGGAUCCUUACGGGUCUGGGUCGCCAUACCGGCCCCCGCACCGGCCGGGUCGGUGCUGGUGCCGGCCUGGAUGCGCGUCCCCUUGCUCGGCGCGACGGGCGACGAAUCGGCUCUCCCCCUCUUGCCGGCUCCCGACGGGGUGCCGUCCUUCGGGGGGUUGAGCUUGAACUCGAAGCCCCGGAAGAGCCCCCGCUUAGGCGAGGCCGGGGGUGCCCGAGGGGUUGCCGCGCCCCCGGUCACCGUGGAAGUCGACGCGGCACCGGCGGCCGCCGCAGGCGCCCUUGAUCUUUGCACGAUCAGGGGCGCGUCGUCUUCAACCUCCUCCUCCUCCACCGCGAAAAGGGCCGCUUGGACCUUGGCAACCUAGCCCGCCACGUCGCCGGAGGACUCUAGGUCGGGCCAGCUGAGCUUCGACUCUCCCCCACUCUCCACGAGCGCCUGCUUCCCACGGGUUUCGGGUGGAGGGGGACGUGGGGCCCGGGCAGGGGAGUCGGACAUCAGCCCCCACUCGUUGCAGGGCGGGUAGGAGCUGAUGACCUUGUGCAGCCCCAAGACGUCGGCAUGGAGUGAGGGAGCCCCUGGCGGAAGCUCCGUGACGGGGGCGUCCUCUCCGGUGAUCCCCUUCACCAACGCCUGGAUGGCCUCCGGGGCCAUGUCCCCGUGCUGGAGGCGGGUGGCAUCCCAGGACCCCGUGUACAUCCACGCGGGGCGGGAGCGCAGCUGCAGCGGCGCUAUACGCCGGCCGAUGUGGGUGCGCGCCACGUCGAGGUCGGUGAGCCCCGCUAGCCGCAGGGCCUUGAUCCGCUCGACGAUGGGGAGGAGUCCGGCGUCGCACCUGUAGCGGUUCCACCAGGUGUCGUUGGGCACCGGCAGCUCGGUGGGCGUGAAGAUGAACUCCUCCGGCUCCUCAACGCGGACCUAGCACCAGUCCGCGCGCCACUCCUUCUCGAUCUUUUUCUCCAACCGGACAAUGAACUCUGAUUUCAUCCGGUCGCGGGCGCAGAACACCACCCCCGAAGACAUCGCCCCCGCCUUGUCGUCGCACGGGGCUCCGACAGCGCGGGCGUGCGGCCACGCCCCCUUUUUAGGUUCGGCAGGGGCGUCGGGGAUCGCUCCGGCGAUCGCCGACGUGGCCGAUGGCCUACGUAACCUACAAAGUGAUGCACCCCGGAUGCACGCAAGCUAAGAACACAUGCACGCACGUUUUUACCCAGGUUCGGGCCACCCGGAGGUGUAAAACCCUACGUCCUACCUAUCUGAACUGGUAUUGACUAUAGGUCAAGUGUUUACACGUUGCCGGGGGAAGAGUCCCCGGGCGCUCUCCUUUUGGCUAAGUGCUCUUUACCACUCUAGGGUACUGCUAAUGGCUAAGUGUGAGUGCGCCUACCCGUCAAGUUGUGGAAUCAUGGAACCAUCCAACCGUCGAACCCUUUGACCGUCGGUGGGGGUCCUCCUUUUAUACUGAAGGGGAUACCACAGGUGCAGCGGUGCAUGCAUUACAGGUGUUGAUCAGGGAGACAUGCCACUCCCCCUCGGUGAGCUCGUGGCAUGCAUGGACGCCACCUCCGCUGCUAGGAGUCUAAAACCCUAAAGGUAGGAUUGGACAACCACUGUUCACCUGAUUUGGACGGGUAACGCCCCUCCUGUCGGCUCAUUUAAUGCGCCGUGCACCUCACUCCUCGCCCUGGUGAGACUGCGCACCCGACGCCCGCCACGCGCCCGUGUGGCGCAGUUGCUCUGUCCGCUUGGCCCCACCCUUGCGGCGGGAGCCUGCGCCCAGGAAAUCCUCCUCCCGGCAAGUCGCUCCCCGGGAAGCGCCCAGGCCAAACACACCCGGAAACCCCCCUCCCGGGAAGCGGCUUCCCGAGAGGUGCCCAAGCAGGAAUAUUCCCCGAAGCCCCGCUAGCCCUUCCGGGCUGGUAGCUUGCCGGGCUGCUCGUGGCUGCUGCCCGGGAUGAAAUCCUCUCGGGAACUCGGAGACGGGGCCCACGCGUCGCGCAACGGUGGUACCCCAGGUGCCACUGGUGCGACACGCCUGCUCGACGCGCGGGUAGAAGUAGUGCCGGAAUCAUGCCACCGACGGCAUCACUCCGACGAAUCCCUCACAGAGGAAUUGGAAGACAGCAAGGAGAAAGAGGGAGGUGGGGUGGAGCUGCGCCACCCGGAGCUGGUACGCCUCCAUGAGCGCGUGGAGGAACAGGGAGUACCGAGGCACCAACCCGGUGAGGAUGAAGCGCGCGAACACCCGGAAGUCGUUUUCCUAGUGGUCGCCGCCGGCGGGGAAGAUGAGGGUCUCCCCGUACUCGUUGAAAAGCGAGGCAACAGCGUGCCGGCCCUUGUCCAGUGCCUCACCGUUGUAGCCGGGCCGGAAGAAGGCGCACGUGGCCCUCAGCUCCCUCCUCUUUUGGUCCUUAUCCGAGGCGGGCUUCUAGGGCACCGUCUCGCUCCUGUCGGCUGCAGGCCUCUUGGAGCCUUUCCCUUUCUUGGGAGCGGGGGGCGCCAUGAGAAAUGUGGGCAGAAGCUGGCCGGAGGCAGGGGUGCGAAGAAGAUCGGAGACGAAGGGGAAAAGCUGGGGGGCUAAGUGCUUGCUCCCCAACACAGCAGCGGAGUCUUAUAACGCCCCGGCGCUAAGCAACGGUCGCAUCCGCACCCUACAGGUGCGCUGGGAUAACCAUGCUCCAAAAGGGGGAUAACGCAGGGCGUGGCUUUAACCACCCAUGUUUAAUGGGAAGGUUAGGGCGGAAAUCUCGCGCCCACUACUCUGCCCGUAACGGCAGAGUCCUUGAAGCAGCACAUAAACGGGGCCGAAGCGGCUCGGGACCCACGUGUCGGUUAGGGGCGUCGCCCGGCAACCGACCUGGGAAGAGUCCACCCGGGAACAGGCGUUGCUGGCCCAUGCCCGGGGGCUACUGUCACACCAGUGGCACCCCGGGUACCACCGCUGCAUGACGCGUGGGCCACCUGGGCAGCUCCGCGCAAGCUGCCCGGCAAGUCACCAGCCCGGCAGAGCUAGCGGGGCUUCGGGGGUUGCCUUGUAGGGCAGCAAGAGAAAUCCCGCCUAGGCGCUUCCCGGGAAGGGUGUUCCCGGGCGCAGGCGCGCGUUACAGGAGCGGGACCGAUCGGGCAGGACGGCGACGCCACGUGGCUGCACGGCGGACUCCCUAUGCGCAGGGUUCGUCAGGACAAAGAGUGUAGCACACGCGAGCAUUUAAUGCACCAACAGAAAGGGGAUUCCUCGUCCAGUCAGCCUAUAGUGACUGGCCGGGGUGUAAUUUUUAGGCGCUUAGACCCCUAGUUGCAGGGCUACUCUUUGUGCAAUUAAGCCAGCACACCGAGGGAGAGCUGGGCUAGCUCCCUGCUCGCCAUUUUUCACCCAUGCACCAUGGCACCUAUGGUAUCCCCUUCGGUAUAAAAAGGAGGAUCCCCACCAACGGUCAAAGGGUUCGGUUCAUUCGGAUCCACACUAGCUCCACCCAGGAAAAGCAAAUAACACUUAGCUAAAAAGAGAGAGCACCCAAGGACUCCCCCCGGCAACCUGUAAACCCUUGUUCAUUGGUUAAUAGCAAAACACAGAAGCAGGACGUAGGGUCUUACACCUCAGGGUGGCCCGAACCUGGGUAAACGAUCUCGUGUCUAUUGUGCUCCAACGCUUGGCAUUGGCCUCGCCGGCGAUCGCCUGAGCGACCCCCGCCGCCCACUGCCGAACCUAAAAGAGGGUGCCACGCAUCCCCGGUGUCAAAGCCCCGUGUACAACAGCUAAUGAACUCAAAAGACUCAAGUCUAAGUUUCGGGCCAUGGAUCUGAAUAAAGUUCAUGCUGAGACUAGUCUUAACUAUGUUUCGAUCAAACUUGAGCAUGAUAAUCUGAAGAACUCUUAUGAGGAUCUAAAAUCUAUGAAUCUUGAUCUCAAUGCUAAGUUAGUCAACUUACGUCAAAACAAUGAUUCCUCUGAAGUAUGUUUUAAAUGCAAUUUUUCAUUGAACAACAUUCCUCAAAUCACUACUUCAAAUGCUGUGACUCAAACUGAUUUCCCUGCUUCAAUUGAUUCACCUUAUGUUACUUCUAGCAUUAUUACUUCUAUUGGUAAAUCUUGCAACGCCCCGGCAAUGCGGGGACCGAGCUUACCCCAGCAAACCAGUGUUACCGAAGGGAAAAACCAAGGACCCAAAAUGAGAUACUUAGCUUCUCGUCCUUUUUCGACUUGUUGCACCUUGCUAAGAGCCGUGGCAAGGACGCGGUGGCAGUGCACCCUCCAGCAGCACCCUCGGAGCCGCGGAGGCAUGCACCACCACCGCGUCUUUAUGACGCCUCUCGCUUGUCUCAUCGCCAUUUCUGGUGUCGUUUCGUAAGAGAUGUGGCAGGGCCGCGAUGGUGGGAACACCCUCAGCGACAAGCGUAGAGGGAUGCAGCACCAUCGCCUGUCUGCGACAUCUCUUGCCUUCUUGCCUGUUGCUGGUGUUGCACUUGCCCUGGUCUCCUUAAAUAGCCAAAGCGUUGCUCUUGCCUCCGCACGCCCAGGACCACCAGUCGCCGCGUGGAGGCAUUGGCCCUGUCUCAGUUUCCUGCAUCAAAUCUCGAAGUAAUUGCCAUAUAUGUACAACUUACUUGCAAGACAACGGCACCCAUGACCACACACGAGCAUCAUCACAGUGUGCCUUUGCCUCAUCUCUAUCCUGCAUGUCAGAUUCCUGCAGUGCCCAAGGUACAUAGCAAAAAAAAAUCGAAAUGCACGAAAAACAGUAUAAACUGGAUAACCUCCUGCCUCCCAGCCCCCGGGGAAAGAAGAGUCCACCUCAGACCUGGUUGUGAGCAUAUUUACAUUUCCAUGGUGCCUCGCUGGCACAUAGCACGUUGCCGACGGGUCCGGCAACUGCUAGAACUCGUUCCGGGUCGUCCCGGCAACGAGCUUGGUUUUCCAGGUUCCGGCAGCCCCCUGCUCACAGCCAAGGAUGAGGAGACAAUUCUGUGCACCUAGAGCAGUAAACAGAAGCAUUCACAAACAGCAAAGCACAAUAUUUACCAAUUCAACACUUAUCUUUAUUCAACUUUGUGCUAGCGGAUUACAAUCGGGCCUUGCCCGGCUACACUAGCUUAAAGAGGCACGCUGCCACAGCGUCACCUGUGGGUAAGGCGCCACCAUUUCAUGGGUAGAACUUGCGUAGGUGCUCAAUGUUCCAACUAUUGGGCACCGGCAAGCCUUCUUCGGUUUCUAGCCGGACAGCCCCCGGUUUGGUCACCUGCACUAUCCGAAAAGGGCCUUCCCAGAUUGGAGUCAACUUGUUUCCAGCCUUUGUUACUUAUAUCUGGCGCAGGACGAGGUCACCAACCUCGAGCCCCCGGGGUCAGACUCUCCUGUCAUGAUAACGACGGAGUCCCUGCUGGUAGCUUGCAGCUCGUACAGCAGCCCGGCAUCGAAUCUCCUCGAUGAAGGUAAGGUCAUCAAUCCUCUGCGUGUGUUGGCUCUUGUCGCCGUACGCGCGUACCCGAGGUGACCCAUAAUUGAGCUCGAGGGGCAGCACAGCUUCUGCCCCGUAGACAAGGGCAAAUGGAGUUUGACCCGUCGCCCGACUCGGUGUGGUCCGCAGUGACCACAGCACGGGCUGGAGUUCUUCAACCCAGUGUUUCCCGUGGCCUUUGAGUUUGUCAAAGGUUCUCGUCUUGAGCCCCCGCAGGACCUCUGCGUUUGCUCGCUCAACUUGCCCAUUGCUCCUCGGAUGAGCAACAGAGGCAAAGUGAAUAUUAGUGCCCAUGUCCUCGCAGUAGCUUCGAACACCGCACGAGUGAAUUGCGUGCCGUUGUCGGUGAUAAUGUCGUUAGUCACACUAAACCGACACACAAUGCCCUUGAAGAACUUGAUGGCCACCUGCGCCGUGACGGCUCGGACAGGCUCCACCUCGAUCCACUUCGAGAACUUGUCGAUGGCCACGAGUAAGUACUCGUAGCCGCCAACUGCUCUCGGCAGCUUGCCAACGAUGUCCAGCCCCCAGACCGCGAAUGGCCACGAGGACGGGAUGACUUGCAGGGCUUGCGCAGGUUGGUUGCUCUUCUUGGUGUGAAACUGGCAUGCUUCACAGGUCUUGACUAAUUGUUCGGCAUCGGCUAGUGCUGUCGGCCAGUAGAAGCCAUGCCAGAACGCUUUCCCAGCUAGUGCCCUGGAGGGCACAUGGUGUGAGCAUGCGCCUCGAUGUAUAUCCUCCAGCAAUGUGCGCCCUUCCUCUUGGGGCACGCAGAGGAGCAUGACUCCGUUGGGACGCCUCCGAUAGAGUUCUUCGUCCACCAGGGCGUACAUCUUAGCUUGCCGGGCUACUCGCUCUGCGGCAAUGUCUUCUUCCGGGAGGGUCCCGUCCCUAAGGUAGCGAAUAAUAUCUGUCCCCCAGGGUGGUGGCUCCCGGCUAGUAUAUGCCACAACCUUGGCGGCAUAGUCCCCUGCAGCUGCAAGGUCACCCUGAGUUGCCGGAGGGGCUUCCCCAGCAACUGUCUUGGGGUCGACAGAGGGCUUCGACUGCCUCUGCACGAACACCCCAGGAGGCACCUUGCUGCGUUCCGCUGCCCAUUUGGACAGUUUAUCCGCAACAAAGUUGUCCUUGCGCUUUACGUGCUCAAAUCGAAGUCCUUUGAAUUUGGACUCCAAUUUUCGCACUUCCUCCACGUACGCUGCCAUCUGGGGGCAGUCAUAGUCCUUGUUUACCUGGUUGAUCGCGAGUUGGGAGUCUCCGUGAACAACCAAGCGCUUGAUGUCGAGGGCGAUCGCCGUGCGUAGCCCGGCAAGUUGUCCCUCGUACUCUGCCGUGUUGUUGGUGGAGUUGGCGAAGUCAAGCUGUAUCACGAACUUGAGCUGGUCUCCAGUGGGCGACUCGAUCACCACUCCGGCACCGGCGCUCUGCAAGCAGAAGGGGCCGUCGAAGUACAUGACCCGGUACCCUUCGUCCAAUCUGUCGGGAAGGCUCGCCUCCGGCUCUUCUUCCUCUAUGCUUGUCGAUGUCCACUCCGCGACGAAGUCAAUGAGAGCGGUGCUCUUGAUGCUCUUAGUGUUUGCAAAGCGCAGCCCGAACUCCGCCAACUCCAUUCUCCACUCGGCCACCCUACCGGUGGCUUCACGGUUAGUGAGGGCCCUCUCCAGGCAGAACCCCGACACCACCGUGAUGCCGUGCGCCUGAAAAUAAUGGCGCAGCUUCCUCGAAGCGAGAAGGAUCCCAAGCAAGAGCUUCUGGACCUGCGGGUACCCGUACCUGGGCAUCGCGCAGCACCGUGCUAACAAACUACACGGGGUGCUACACUAGCCGCUUGCGGGGGGCAGCCUGCGUGGGCUGCCCCUCGGGUCUAGGGCAGAGGAGUUAGCCAGGGGUUCCUUCGGCUCGUCGGGAGCCCCCGGCCCUUCCAUCUCAGCCCCCGGGACUUGCUCUUCCCUCUCGGCAACGAGCACGAAGCUUACUACCUGGUCCGUCACAGCUAGGUACAGCAGCAACAGCUCGCCCGUCUUGGGGGCAACGAGGAUCGGCGGCGACUUCAGGUACCUCUUCAAGUUCUGAAACGCCGCUUCCGCCUCGGGAGUCCAAUCUAUUGGACCCUUUUUCUUCAACACCUUGAAGAAAGGCAGGGCUCGCUCGCCCAUCCUUGAGAUGAAACGCCCGAGCGCCGCAACGCAUCUGUUGAGGCGCUGGACGUCUCUAACCUUGCGGGGUGCCUCCAUCUUUUCGAUCGGUUCGAUCUUCUGUGGAUUGGCUUCGAUUCCCAUGUGAGAGACCAAGAAGCCUAGCAAGUGCAACGAGUCCACACCAAACGUGCACUUCUCGGGGUCAAGCUUGAGCUUGAUCCUGUGGAGGUUGUUGAACGUCUCCUGCAGGUCGACGACGAGCGAGUCCCUACGCCGCGAAAUGACGAUGAUAUCGUCCAUGUAGGCCUCGAUGUUCCGGCCUAGCUGGGGUCCCAGACACUCGCGCAAGGCGCGCUGAAAUGUCGAGCCCGCAUUCUUCAACCCGAAAGGCAUGCACGUGUAACAGUAGCAGCCAACCGGGGUGAUGAACGCUGUUUUCUCCUCCUGUUUGACUGCCAUCUUAAUCUGAUGGUAGCCGGAGAAGGCAUCUAUAAAGCACAAAGACUCACAACCCGCUGUAGAAUCUACUAUUUGAUCGAUACAGGGUACAGGGAAGGGGUCCUUUGGACAUGCACGGUUAAGAUCAAUAAAAUCUACACACAUGCGCAAUUUAUUUCCAGCUUUAGGGACUACAAUAGGGUUUGCUAACCAAGUUGGGUACAACACUUCCCUGAUCGCCCCGGCAUUCUUGAGCUUCUCCACUUCCUGCUAGAUGAAGCCCUUGCAAUCUUGUGCUUGCCGGCGAACCUUCUGCUUGACGGGCCGCGCGUCUGGCCGCACCGCCAGCCAAUGCUCGAUCACCUCCCUGGGGACUCCGGGAAGAUCUGACGGCUCCCAAGCGAACACGUCAGAGUUCUCCCGGAGGAAGGCGACGAGGGCGCUUUCCUAUUUGUCACCGAGGCUCGCACCGAUGGAGACGGUGCGUUCCUCAGUGCCGGCAUGUAGGGCACCUUCUUGACCUUGGUGCCCUCCUCCUUCAGCUUCGUGCCCCUGCUUACGCGUGGGCUGGAGCUGGAGCUGCCCCCGGCAUCCUGUACGGGAGAGGCUCGCGCCUUCUUCUGUGCGGGUUGUUCACCCGCAAGUGGAUCCUCGUUCCCGGCAACAUCGUAGUCGUCGGGAUCCGCCACUGUGGAGGUCUUCACGACCUCACCCACGCACCAAGCAGCGUCCUUCAGGUCACACUUGAUGGAGAGAACACCGUACGUUGACGGCAUCGUCAUCACGCCAUAGGCGCAGUGGGUUGCCGCCAUGAACUUGAUCAGCGCUGGCCGACCAAUGAUCCCGUUGUAUGGCAACAGGGUGUGAGCCACAUCAAAAAUGAUGUGCUCAGUCCGGAACGCUUCCCGGGAACCGCAGGUCACCGGGAGCGUGAUUCUCCCCAUGGGCUGCACCACUCCGGGGUUGAUCCCCCGGAACGAGUCGGUGGGCUUCAUCUGAUCCUGGGGCAACUGAAGCUUUUCCACCAAUUUGGCGGACAGCAAGUUAAGGCUUGCCCCACUGUCCACCAGUACCAUGGCCACCGUCACAUUGUUUAUGAUCGGCGACACAACGAGGGGGAGCACCCCUAAACCCAAGGGACGGAUCGGGUGAUCGUCCGAGUUGAAGGUGAUCGGCACAUGCGACCACCUCAACGGCUGCUGCGCCUCUACGUUGGGGAGGAGGGCGCAGACUUCACGUGCGAGCCGCUUCACGGCGGUGUGAGACGUCAGAGCAUACGCUCCCCCGUGGAUGCAGGCAACGUCGCGAGGCUCCUGGAAGCCGGGCUCGUCAGCGUCGGCGUCGCUGUAGACAUCCUCGUGCUGUUGAGCGCGAGGCUUGUCGCAUCCCUGGGGAGGCCGGUCCUUACCGCCGUGGGCCUGACCACGACCCCCCGCGGGUUCUCCUUUGUCGCCGCUGGCCACUCCUCAGCCUGCCCCGCCGCAGGGGUUGUUCGGGCAGUCCCGGGAGAGGUGCCCGAUGUCCCCGCAGUUGAAGCAAGCCCCGGCAGCGCGGCGCUCCUCGGGGCGCUGCUCACGCUUCUCCUUGAUGGUCUGGAUAGUGCGGCAGUCCUGUGCAUCGUGGGUGGCGUUGGUGUGGAUGGGGCAGCGCGCAGCCGCUGCCGGCUUGCUACCCGAUGCCCGCGCCGACGCCGCCUUCUUGGCGGGCCUCUGGGGAGCCCCCGGCUCCGCGACAAGCUCUUGCUUCCCGUCGCGUUUCCGGGAGCUCUUCUUCUCGAAGUCCUCUGGUCGGUUUGCCGUUGCUUUGGCGGCAAGCUCGGGCGCCAAGCACUUGUGCGCGAGAGCGUAGAGAUCCCUUGUGGUCCCGAUCCGGAGCGUGUUGAGCUUCUCACGCAUCUUCGGGUCCCGGACGUUGAUGGCGUACGUGUUGAUGAUGGCAGCCGCCUCCGUCUCAGGGAUGGAGUAGGAGAGGUUGGAGAACCUGUUGGUGAAGUCCUGCAACGUCUCCCCCGGUUUCUGCACGACCGUGUGCAGUUCCGCCAUUGUUCCCGGGCGCUUGUAGCCGCCUUGGAACACGUUCACAAACUGCUCGCGCUGGUCAGCCCAGGAGGCUAUGGACCCGGCGGGCAGGUUGAGAAACCAAAUCCUCGCUGAUCCUUUGAGGACCAUCGAGAACCAGUUGAACCUGACCUUGUCGUCGGCGCCAAUGGCGUGAAUGCCCAACGUGUAGGUCAGGAGAAAGUCCUUGGGGUUCGCGGUCCCGUCGUAUGUCCCAAGCAUCGACGCUCGGAACUUGUGGGGCCACGUCACCCGGCGCAACUCGCGAGUGAACGCGGCGCAGCCGUCCUCGGCGCCCAUGGGAGCAUCUUCCUGCUCCUCUGGGUGCUGGCGUUCUGCUUCACGCCGAUGCCAGCGCUCCAAGCGCUGGCAGAGGUCUUCCUGCUGGCGAAUCUGAGGACCCCACGGGAUCCUCGCCUCCUUGCCCUCCCAGCGGGGGAGGGUGUUCUCCGUGCCCCGAGACGCGGGGCGCGUCUCCGCGUCCCGGGUUCUGCCCCCGGCCUGAACCAGCCGGGGCGCCCUCGCCUUGCGGCUACUGGGCGGCGAGUGCAAGGAGCGCGUCUAGCUCCGCACUCCAUGCUUCAUGCGUCGGCGCGCCUUGCGGUGGCUCGUAGCACACCAUGACACGCGCGGCUAUGAUGGCUUCCGCCGGGGUCUGGGUGGGAGGCUACCGAUUCUCCGGCCGGCUGCCCUCCGCCCUGUCACCCGGUGCCCUCGGGUGAGUGGGGCGAGACUCCGUCGGCGUCGCACGCGACGCGUUGUGCUCAUGGCGCCUUCUUCAUUGUUGUUUCCGGAUUCACUUUGCUUGAUUUCUUCUGGACGAAUAUCACCAAUGGCCAUCUUUUGGAUAUUUCCUGAAAUUUCUUCAAUAUCUACAGACAUUGGCAAUUGCUCUUCUUGGGAGCCGUUAGCUUCAUUGAACUGCACAUACUUAGCAAUUUCAACAACUUUGGUAGUGUUGUUGAAGACUCGAUAAGCAUGUGCAUUCGAGGGAUAACCCAAGAAGAAACCUUCGUCACAUUUAGAAUCAAACUUGGCUCGUUUAUUCUUCUUGUUGAGGAUGUAGCAUUUGCUUCCGAAGACUCUGAAGUAUGAUACAUCGGGCUUGCGGUUGGAGAUGAGCUCGUAAGGAGUUUUCUUCAAAAGUCGAUGAAGAUACAAGCGAUUUGAAGCAUGACAAGCGGUGUUGAUGGCUUCAGCCCAGAAACGGUCAGGAGUCUUGUACUCGUUCAGCAUCGUCCGGGCCAUUUUGGAUCAACGUACGGUUCUUCCUCUCUACCACCCCAUUUUGUUGAGGAACAUGAGGUGCAGAGAACUCGUGCUUCACGCCGUACUCAUCGAGUAAUUCUUCCAUUAGUAGGUUCUUGAAUUCUGUUCCAUUGUCACUUCGCACGCCCUUGAUGGAUACUUCAAACUCAUUUUGGGCUCUUCGUGCAAACUUCUUGAAGAUCUCAACUACUGUGCUCUUAUCAUCCAAAAAGAACACCCAAGUGAAACGUGAAUAAUCAUCAACAAUCACAAGGCCAUAUGAGUUACCUCCUAUACUCAUAUAAGUUGUAGGACCAAAAAGAUCCAUGUGAAGCAGCUCGAGAGGUCUUGAAGUAGACAUGACGUUCUUCAUGGGAUGAAACGCUCCGAUUUGCUUCCCAGCUUGGCACGCACUGCAUAAACGAUAUUUUUCAAAAUAAACGUUCUUCAAGCCUCGGAUGUGUUCGCCUUUGACAAGCUUGUUCAAAUUCUUCAUGCCCACAUGACCGAGUCUUCUAUGCCAGAGCCACCCUAGUGAGGAUUUUGCAACUAGACACGUAGGGGGUGAGUAUGAGGAGUCUUCAAAAUUUACAAGAUAGAGGUUACCCUUUCUUCGCCCUCUGAACACAAAAGAGUUAUCCUUUUCUGAAGUAACAUACACAUAUGGUCUUGUGAAGCAAACGAUUAGUCCAUUAUCACAUAGUUGAGCAACAGAUAGAAGAUUAUAUCCAAGUGAUUCAACAAGAAGUACUUCAUUGAUAGACAGGUCAUUUUCCUUGGAAAUAGCAACUUUGCCAAGACCGAUUACCUUUCCCUAACCAUUGUCACCAAAAGUGAUGUUCUCAUGAUGUUGAGGACCAAGUUCUAAAGAGCUAAACAUUUUCUUCUCACCGGUCAUGUGAUUCAUACAUCUGGAGUCCAUGACCCAUUCUCUUCCUCCGGAUGCAUAUGCCUACGAAGAAAGUUAGGCUCGUUUAGGCACCCAUGUCUUCAUGGGUUCCUGCACAUUAGUAAAACUUGAAGAACACAAGGCAUUACGGAAAAAUGUAACGACAGAUUUUGGCACCCAAAUCUGAGGUUUUGCAUGUUCUCCACGCAUUAUGGUUCCAGUGAAAUUAGCUCUCACUUUAUUAUCCUUACCCAUCUUCAGAAUGUAAGAUUCAUUAACAUGGAAUAUCGGGUAAGCACGUGAAGUAUUGGGCGCUUUGAAGCAUCCUUGCGGGGAUUCAGAUUUCCCACAAAUGGAGAAACCACAGUAUACUUUCCUCUUCCCUAGACAAACUUUGUAGGGGGAUAUUGCUCAGGGAGCCAAGCAUCACCAUUAACAUUGUACUCCCUCUCAAAACCGAUACCAUCUUUGCGUUGGCGAGGAAUUUGAAGACCAAGAAUCUGGUUCAAGGUUUCAGUCCCUUGGUGACACUUGAGGAUACCAGCCUCAAUCUGCUUCUUCAACUUAGCAUUUUCUUCAGCCAGUGAAAGAUCACUAGGUGAAGGGUUAGUGACAACAGAGCAAAAUUCACCAAUAGUAGUAAAGCUAGAAGCAAUAUCGGGUGAAUCAGGGAAAUCAGUUUGAGUCACAGCAUGUGAAGUAGUGAUUUGAGGAAUGUUGUUCAAUGGAGAAUUGCAUUUAGGGCAUACUUCAGAGGAAUCACCGUGUUGAGGUAAGUCGACUAACUUAGCAUUGAGAUCAAUGCUAAGUUCUUCAUUAUCAGUGAUAAGCAUGUUAGUGUUCUUCUUGAUCUCAGUGAUAAGCAGAUCUUCUUGCCUCUCAACGAUGAACUGUAGUCUUUCAUAUGACAUGGGUUCAGAUUCUUCAUUAUCAGUUUCAUCAUUAUCACUAGAGUUUAUUUUUUCACCAGGAGAUGAUACCUUAGAGGAUUUUGCCAUGAAGCAUGAUGGUGAGGAGCGAUCGUCUCCGGAGGCAUCUUCAGAUGAAUCUGCAGAGUCAAACAGUGAAGCCUUCUCUCUGGCAGAUGUAAUAGCUAUGGCCAAUCCGGCGACACCGUCUUCAGACUCAGAGUCAGAUGAUUCUUCAGAUGAUGAAGAAUCUGAGUUCCAUUCACCAACAUGUGCUCUAGAGUAGUACUUCCCUUUCUUCUUGUGAGCAGAGUCCAUUUUCCAAUCCUUCUUCUUGUGACGAUCAUGGUUCUUCUUGUGAGAGUGCUUCUUGAAGCCUUUCUUCUCCUUGUCUUCAUUAGCUUUCUUGGGGCACUCAGCGAUGAAGUGGCCUUUCUUGCCACAGUUGAAACAAGCUCUCUUGGCCAUAUCAGACUUCUUCCAAUGAGCUGAUUUCCGAAACUUGGAGGAGCCUUGAUGCUUCAGUUUGUUUCCAAACUUACUUCCAAACUUCUUAUUGAACCUCUUCACAAAAAGAGCAAGCUCGUCAUUGGAUUCUUCAUCAGAAGAAGACGAUUCUUCAGAUUCUUCACUGGAGCUGACAAUCUUCUUGCACGAUUUCUUGGCCUUGAGUGCAACAUUGUUCUUCUUCGAACUGGAUCCCGAACCAUGGAUCAAUCUCUUUUCUUCUUGGUCAAGUUCAUAGGACACGAUUCUUCCAAGAACCCAGGUGGGAGUCAAUUCCUUGAAGUCUUGCCUAUGCUUGAUCAGCUCACAGACAGUGGUGUACUCCAUGGGAAGAGCUCGAAGAAACCUUCUGUUUUGCAUCAAAUCGGUGAUAUUGUGAUCAUCGAGAGUAUUCAGCUCGUUCACGAUGGUGCUCAUGCGAUCAUAGAGUGAGGAAAUAGUCUCAUUGGGCUCAAGCAUAAGACGAUCAAACUGACUGAUGAGGCGAGUAACUCUAGAAUCUAAUUGCUAAUCUUGUUGAACUCACCAUCACUGACAGUUGAGAAGAUGAUAUCACAAGCUUUGGCAUUUGCUUGAUACUUCUUCAGAGAGAUAGAGUCAUAUCCAGAGAUGGGUCCCUGAGGAACAACAAAGCCAUUUGUGACUGCUUCCCAAGCACAAGGGUCAGUAGAUAUGAUGUGAGUAUUGAUGCGAUUUUUCCAAAAAGCAUAAUUGGUGCUGCUAAGAAUAGGUAGCUUCCCUUCCUUAGACAUACUUCUUCCUCAGGUGGUUAAACCAAAACAAGAAAGCCUUGCUCUGAUACCAAGUGAAAGAUCGAGUAUGUCACAGAGGGGGGGUGAAUGUGACCAGUUUUAAUUCUUUUUUCAAAAUGAAGACUGAAGACAGUCACAGUACUUCAACAAUUAGAUUACACUCAUCAAUUUUAGAGUUGCAGCGGAAAGAAGAAAGAUGAACAGGUUUAGCAGCAACAACGAAGACAGAACACAAUGAAACAGUUAUUCUUCAUAGAGAGCAAAAGUUGAGGAACGAAAUCACCAAGACUGAAGACACAGGGAUUUGUUUCCGAAGUUCAGAUUGUUGGCACAAUCCUACGUCUCCGUUGAGGGGGCUGAGUCACACAAGACUCGCGGACACACAAGUCCACCCAAUCCUCCUGAGCUAAGACCGAAGUAUCGCCCAGUUACUCGUGGUAGAUCUUGAGGUGAUCUUCGGACCUUCAUAGACUGGUUGAUGGCAAAUCACAAUUUUUGAUUGCUCUUCAACACUGACUCCUAGUCGUCUAGGUGAUGCCAAUCACCAAGAGUAACAAGCUUCAAGUGCUCGGCUAGAGAGGGGAUCCCAUUCUUCAUGCUCAGUUCAGCUCUAAGGGUUUUAUCAGGUGUUCUUAAAAACAACUCACUGGGGAUGACCACCGAAUUCCUUCGGGGUGGGUCGUCUUAUAUAGCCUUGGCCACAAUUGAUCUAGCGGUUGUGACCCGUUGGAUAAAGUGAACUUUGAGCCUCCAACUCACACUCUAUCACUUUGUCUCACAACGGUUAGAUUAGGUGGUCAAGCAUGAAAGCAACAGAUUUUCAAACACAUUUGAACUCAGAGUGAAGACUUCACGCGGAAGUUUCUGUGAGCCUGAAAUGCUUCAUUCUUCACUCCGACGAAAAACACUCACACAGAAAAUGGUUUUCGCCUAAGCUGAACAUGAAGAAUAGGUUUCACCUAUACCAGCUCCACACUUCAAAUCCCCCUUAAUAGUAUGGCGUUCCUAUACUCAAGUGAAGGAAAACGCUACGGAAAGACUUAUGAAGAAUGCUAUGCUUCACGUUCUUCACCGUUUUUCACUGAGUUCUUCAUACUUCGCGCCAGUACCUGUACUUCAAUUUUUAGGGGUCAUCGAUGCUGGUUAAACCAACUCUUCUGAGGAACUAAAACCUGAAACAUUCCGUGUAACUCAUUAGUUCCUCAACCAUGUUGUCAUCAUUCAUCAAAACCCAUACAGGGGCAAGGUUUCCCUUUCAAUGGUCAAAGGGUGAAAUGAGCUAGAAUAGGGGGCAAGAAAGGUGUGGGGAUGAGGCUUUUGCUCCAUGGUGGAACAUGGACCAACCCUCAUUUUCUCCCAUAUGGUGCACACCAAAGCUGUGGACCAAGGAGCUACUUUUACCAUUUUGCCCCCACUUUUCUCUCUCCCUCAAGGGUAGCCAUGGUCUUUUGUCAUGAACCCCUAGGCUAUAAAUACCCCAUGGGGGCAUGUAUCAUUCACUCUCAACUUGAAUAAACUCAAGGGGAGAGGGUUAGAGUGCUCCCUCUAAGGUUCGCUCUCGAGCUCCGCUUUCGACUAAAAGUCGACCAGCCUCGAGGAAGCCUUCUAGGGGACUCUAGUUUCGAGGGUCCGAGCUAACCUUGGUUAGCACGGGCUCGAAGGAGAAGGGGUUGGGUUAGAGUUCCGAGGGUAUCCUAACUCGAUACUUGGAAAGACGAGUUCGGUCCAAGUACGAGCCGGCCCCGAUGAAUCUCUUGCUAAAGAUGUCUUGGGAAGAUCCGCUCGGCCCAAGCACUUGGCUAACAACCCCCUCGAAGCUUUUCCUAAGAUAGGAUUAAGUCGUACCCGCAGGGUCGACCAAACCUAUUCAAAAAAUAUCCAUGUGUCAACUUGUCCAAGUGUACGACGACCUUCGCUAUAAAGCCAGCGUACAUACACUACUUUUACACUCGCACUUGUGCCAUCAAGUCUUGGCACCGCUUACUCUAAUUGUUGUCGAGAACAACAACACUCCAGAUUUUUCUGCACGGCCAGUUCUUGUGCUCUACUCAGAAUAGACUUUCCAUCUUGAGCAAUUCUUGCACUCUGCCGUGCAGCAACAACAGGGCCCCACUUGUGUUUCUUGACGUUUUUCUUUUUUGCUUCAGCUGGUGUUGGGAAAUCUUCCUUGAAAGUGUUGAUCUUCAGCAGAUUGAAGGCCACUGGUUGCACACAGUUGUCCUGCCAUAUUACAUAUGAAACAGACCUUAGGUUGCACACAGUUGACUACAUAAUGCCUAGGACCACCACAAUUGUAACAAAUGAGGUCUCUGUACUUGGGAUCCAUAGGUUGGAUCUGCUCUGCUUCAGCAUUCUUCUGUCUGUUGUAUCUAUUAGCUGCACGUUGCCCUGUCUUCUGCUGUCGAAGCUGGGUUGUUUUUUGUGAAGCCUUUUCUCCUGUCUGUGUUGGGUUUUGUUGAACAUCUUUUUGUAACUGCAUCAUGAAGGGCCCUGAGAAUUGGAUGUUUGUUCUGUCACAGGUGCCUGACUGGUAACUUGAGCUUGCACCUGUUGUUCCAGUUGAGCAGUAGGGGAAGCCCCUGUGUCUGCAGUCCCGGACCUGAGAUUUCAAGGACCCGGUGCAAAACUAGGAUUUGGGGCCUUAAUAACGCUAACUGAUGUAUAUAUAUAUAUAUAAAAAUUACCUACAAAACUAACAAUGAAUCAAAAAGUUUAUACAUAUUAUCUUUAAAAAAUUCUAGCAACGAAUCAAAGUUACAUUUUACGAGUCACAAUCUCAAUCUCGUCCACCAAUUUCUUUUCAAUGCAUAAAGUUACCAUACCAUUUAACAUCUUUUGAGACAUUGUAGACCUUAAAUAUUCCUUCAACAGUUUUAACUCUGAAAAAUUUCUUUCAGCUAAUGCCAUAGCCAUAAGAUUCUGAUAAGUAAUAGAAGAAUUAGGAUAGCAUUCUUCGUAGUUCUCAAAAUUAACAGACUAGAUAAAUUCACAAAUUGAAAACUAGUUAAAGAAUUAAAGACUGAAGAUGGCUGUAUAAGAUAGAUGCUCACACUUGUCGGUCCCGUAAUUCCGUUGUCUGGCGAUGCAGCCUAGCCAAUCAAGGGAGGCGAUGUAGCAGGCAGCAGCAGAACUAGCUUGGGAAGAGGUGAAACCGCGGGCGCAGCGUGGGCGGCAGGCCAGAACUGACUACUGAGAGCGGCCGCGGCGUCGUGGCGAUCAGGCGGGAUCUCAGGGCAGGGCCAUUCAAGACAAUCUCGUGGACAGCGGCGCCAGCGAUAUGGAAUUGGAAACGAUCGUCAGUCUCAAGUACAGCAGCGCCAGCGAAUCUGGAAUUGGGCGAUCAGGACUCAACCGGCCACUCGGGACGAUCAUGGAUGGAAUUGGAAGUUAGAAAGAGUCUUGCGCCAGCCAAUUAUGAAUACCCAGGCCUAGGGUUAGGGGCCUCCGAAAAUUUGAGGCCGAGUGCGGGGGCACCGCCUGCAACACCCCAGGGCCGGGCCUGUGUGUCUGGAUAGUCUGGAAUGUCUGAGGCUUGCUGGUUGCGUCCCUCGUACGUCCUCAACCCCCGCGUCCUCUCCACGCACGCGUUGUUCUGCUUGACGCCUGCGACGGUCCAGCGGCUCCAGCCCUCUCCACCCAAACCCGCAUCGCCCCUCCUCCUCCACCUCCAAAAUUUCCUCGAGCGGUUCCAAGCCCCCCGAUCCCCCGAUUCCCCAAAAUUCACAUCUCCCCCGUGUGGGCGCCGAGCCAGCGGUUCCAACCCCCAAUUCUUGUCAGAGCAGCGGCGGCGUGGGUCAUGGAAAGGGACGAACAAUUCCGGAUCGGAGGAGGGAGCGAGAGAUGGGGAAGAUCCAGUAGGCGGUGGUGGCGCGGGGACGCGACGGUGCUGGUGGAGCACAACGGCACGGGAAGGAACAAAGGAUUGGCCUGUAUAUAUAGUUCGUGGGGUCGUUGCCGCUCGCAGUCGCUGCGGCCCCCGUGGCGGCUGGCUACGGCAUUGCCCUCCGCCUAGGCGGUAGGCGGCAGCUGCCGGGCGGUCGCGGGCCCGGCCAUGCUCGGGGCAGCCAGCGUCGCGGGGGCUGCACAACUACGUCGCCGGCUGCGACGACCCCACCAAGCUGCAGACAAGCGUCAGCGAGGUGGAGGCCAUCGCAAGCAAGUGAGUUUGGAUUGCCCUGUAUAGUUGAUGCGUUCGUUUCAGGUUUGCAUCGUUUCCGGUUAUUUACUUGGAACUCUAAUUUGUCGUUUGGUGCUAGCAAAUUUCUGGUGUAUGCUUUCUCAGUAAAAGAUGGUACUCCCUCCGUCCCAUAAAGACGGUUUUGAACUAGCUCUGGUCCAAACCCGUGCCAAUUUUUAUGGAACGGAGGGAGUAAAUAUUUUGUUAUGGUGAUGCAGCCCGAAUAAUCACACCUGUUAAAACUGUGCACUGGAGAAUUGGAUGCAUUUCCGACUCUCUUAUCCUUUUAUUUUAUCUUAGGUGUGGACUUAUAGUAGUUAGUACACAAGAUGCAGCCUUCAAAGUUCAAAGGAGAUCUCUGUGAGUUGUAUGCCAGGUGAGUAUCGCUGCCCUUGCGGUCUGCAUUUGUUUCCCAUGACUGUGAACAUGGCUAUAUGCACACAGAAUGACCAAAUAAGUAUUGACUUCUAUGUUCAGUGGUAAUUGUAUAGCGAACUAAUCAUAUGUGUUCUAGGUGCCAAGUUGUCCUGGUUAUCCGGUAUCCUACAUGGCUACACCUCUCUUAGCAAUCACCCCCUCCUAACCUAAGAAGGAGUCAGUUUUGACAUCUUAUACGUCAACAUGCAAAGUUAUUAUUAUAAUAUUUCUGUAAAUGCACAGAUCUAUGCUAUUUUGGAAAUACUUUGAUAUCCAGUCAUAUCAUUUAAUAUUUCUGUAAUCUACACAGUUGAAAGAUUUUGCCAGUCCAAGUGAGAAGGAUUUAACUGAACAUUUCUCAUAUGAUUCUUUUUUUUUCCAGAAUUUUGAACUUCUGGGACAUUAAGUUUACUCGGUCCGUGAAUGUCUUACUAUCUUUUUAGCAAGCACCUAUAAAUUGCCCAUGUCGAACCUUCAAUCUUUAGAGAACUGAUACUAUCUACGACCUUGCAGUUCUGUAGUUUGAUAUUUGCUGUGAUUUACCCUCCUGAACAUCAGUCAUUAGCUGAAAAUUCAUAGGAAAUUCAUGACAAGUUUUACCGUCCCCUUAUUUAGUUAUUAUCUCAAUACAAUUGACCAGUGCCAAAAUGAUUCUGUUCCCUCAAUCAUGUCUGUUGUUCUCUGAAAAUUCAUACAGCAGUCAGCAGUCCAAUUAAUAUAAACAAAUAUAUUUACUGCUGGUUUUUGGUUGUUCGCCUUUGUUGAAGCUGCUAUAAGAAUGAGCCAUGCAGAUGCAUUUCUUCUUAGCGUAAUUAAUACGUCAUACGUCAGCAAUAUGUAUUUGUUUUAUUCUGAUUUUCCAAGAUCAUUCCAGGAUUUUACCUCCUUGCCAAAGUAGAAGAGGCUGCAGACAAACCUAUUUAUAGGUGGACCCAUCAGAUUGUUAGUGGCCAUACUCUUAAGCAUCUAUGUGCUGCAAAAGAUGUGUAUAGUACAUAAACAAGGUUUCAAGGGUUAAAAUCAAUUGUGGUGCCACAUUUUAUUCUUAGUACAGCAAGUCCAAAUUGUGUGAGCUUUUUUUUUCUGCAAAUUAACGGACCAGCAAGUAUUAUAAUUGUGCUGAGUGCUGACCACUCCACCCCCAAAUGAACCGAAGACAUGCAUACAGAUUUCCCAAAUAGAUUUUUAGAAUUUGUGAUAUAAUGCCAUGCUUCUAAACUUGGGACAAUAAAUAAUAGAGUUGUGUCCUGUUUUAACAAAGGUAUGUUUGAUUAAUCAUACACAAACCAGUUAAUCUUUUAUUUGGAUGCUAAUUUGCUUUUUAUUGAAAGAGCAUUCUUUCUAUCCUUUUGUCCACUACCGGCUAACCUCUUGCCUAAUUUGGUGGACUCUACAUGAGUAUUUUCCCCUUAUUUCAGAAUAUAGACUGUCUUCUUUUUUUGGAUUGUUCCCACCUGGUGGUGGCAAAGCUAUUCGUUGCUGCCUGAAGGUAUGCUUCUGCACCUAACAUGUAUUGCUCGUGGUGUGUAAAUGGUCUAUUCCGGUUCCAAACUAACUAUGGAUCUAAUGAUGAGGGAUAGAAAAAUUCAUGACCAACUUGUGAUGUCUGGAAUUCUGUUCAUAACCUGAAUCUGUCAACAGCCACCUAUGUUUUUCCAGUGUAUCGGUGAUCUGUAGUUUUGUACUAAGGUGAGCAGGAUACAACCAAGAGAUGAUGUGUGCUUCUAGCCUAAACUCAAUAUGGAUAUUUAGUCCUGUUACUUGGUUUGGGAGAUCCAUGGCUGAUAACGAAGUGCGGUUUUGAUUUCAAAAUUUACCGCACACAAGUCAACAUUGCCUUCGAUAGUAGUGUACAAAUAGAAGUUCAGAAGUCCUCCAAUUUUUUGUUUAUGCUCUUCGGAGAUCAGUUGAAUAAGAAGUACUUAGGUGUCCUGUACCAUUUGGGCAUGACUUUAAAUUUAGGUGAACUCAGUCAGCUGCUUGAAUAUAGAAAAUCUACUAAACGGGGUUUGCAUCUGAUAUUCGCAAACUUCCUCGUGCCUAUUUAAUAACUGAAGAUCGACAAUUAGUAUGCUUUAAUUUAUAAUAAAGUUUGUUAUCAUUGUGUCUUAAAAUGGUUUUAACUAUCACUUGUUUAAUCUUGUGAACAACUUUGGUUCAAAAUGCUUGGACAUGUGCAGUCAAGGGGGUUGGUCUCAGGAAGAGUGAAGGACAAACCGGAGGAGGGAAUCAUCACUAUGUAAUGCUGAAGACAUUGCAGUUGAAGUUGACGCUCUAUUGUAGGUUGGGUGUGUGUUGUAGUUUUUUUAAAAGGUUGGAGGUGUGUUGUAGAACGCGCCGGAGGUUGCAUGGGGCUCGUUGGAGAGAUACAAUCGAAAAUCACACGGGCAUUGCACCCAACGCUUGUAUUCAUGAACUGAAGCAAAUGAGACAUGAUAUUAGUUUUUCCAUUAGCAGCAAUAAUUUUGAUGUCUCCACAAUCUAUUGUUGUACUGUAGCAACGCACGGGCACUUAACUAGUUUUACAAAAAGUACGUGGGACCCGUCUACAUGGCUUCUCAACACGCGAACCAAGCACAUGGAUCCUAUUCUUGUGCCAAGUCAAUUUUUGAAGUUUAAUCAUAGAAGAAUCUACUCCCUCUAACCCAUACUAAAUCUGCGACAAAUAAUAUGGGUCAGAAGGAGUAGCAAAGUUUAAUGAUACCUAAUAUAUAUAUUAUGUAUUGUGAAAAGAAGUGAUUAUUAUUUUAAAGUGCUUAUGUAGUUUUCAUUCUUUCUACAGCAAAGCGUCGUGCGGUAUUUUUGCUCUUUAUUUCGAAAAUACGAGUGCAUGAAAAUUUCUAACUAAAAAACGAAAAUAAAGAAACGAAGGAAGCUCAAGCUCAGGGACGCGGCUUGCCUGUACCCCUAGUUUGUUCCCAUCCGUGCUUCCCAUCCUACAUCUACGAUUGAACGGCUACUCUUUUUUUGGGCCCAUCUUUAUUUCCCCCAACUAAUCUGCCAGGAUAUUCGACUCUGCCUCUUCUUCGUUCUUCUGUCUCACAUAGCCGUUCUCGCCAUCUCCGGCCGCAGCCACGGCCGCGCCAUACUCGAAGGAAAACCUCUAUUUUCUAUGGCAGACGCACCCUUUCCUGCCGCUGCUGACGACAUUUCGAGCCUGUUUGCUUUGAGCCUCAACUAGCCCUACCAAAUUUUUGGCAUGACCAAAAUUUUGGUGUGUUGUAGUUGUUUGGAUUACAACCAUAUUAGCUACCAAUAGUUUUUGGCAAAAUGGGGCCUCUGUUUGGUUUGCAGCUAAUUUAGUUAUCAAACUUUCAAGGACCUAAGUUCAGUUUGAUCAAAAUGGGGCCUCUGUGUGGUAAGCUAAAACGGAUUUUAACGUGUCUUGUCAUCACGAAAUGAUCAUCAUCAUUUCGAAAUUCUACGUGUCUCCAAAAUUUUCUUGCUUCAUCAUUUCUUGCUAACAAGAUAACAAUAAGUAGUAUUCCUGCUAAUAAGGUGAUGCAUGUCCAUCGCGCAAGUAAGUACGAGUAGUACCUUUUUCCUGAUCCGUACUUUUUUAACCUUUUUUCCUGAUGCAUGUCAGUUACUCAGAGAGAAUAGAAAUUAUAAAAGAAAGAGAGGAGCGAACGAGGCAUUUGGCGGCCAAUUCCCGGGCGAAGAAUUUCAUCGCCCUCAACUCCAACGCAUCGGCAAAAUUUGCACGAGCAGGCCCAGGCGGAGCGGGGCAAACCAAACAGCAGCCAAAAGACAUGGGCGUGCCAAAUUAUUGUUAAGGCUAACAUUGGCUCAAAAGCAAACAGGCCCUUCCUUCCGCCGCCACACCACCUCGUAAUGUCGUCGGCUGUACCACCGACGGAUCGACGCCUUGAAGCGGAGUGACUAGCUGGAGGUCCGGAAAAUUUCCUGUGCCCAAUUCUUUUGAAGCUCCACGCGGAGACCGGCGGGUGGUACAGGGCAGCGAGAGGGACGUCCGCCGGCAUGCCCAGCCACGCGAAAUACUUCAUGCUCGUGGUCUUCCGCAUCGCCGAGAAAGAAUAACUUGCUGCAUAACAAAAAAGUAGUUAUGUAAUCGCAAAAUCUCCAUCUGUGCACGCGCCAUAUGAAUGUCAUAUUAGUACUUGUUCUUGCUGACUUGCUGGAGAUAUGAGAUAUCAAGCAUGAUCUUGCUUUGGUGCCUUGUACUGUUGUACACAAAGACGGUGAUGGGCUGAAGGCAGAACGACGUCUUCUCUCGCGGACGGCGGCGGCACGCCGGCACCCUGCACCAAGGUUUCCACUGUUCAUCGCCUGGUGUUUGGAUUGCGGCAUGGCAGUUAGACGGAGAAGAAAGGGGCACGCAUGAGAACAGGGAGACAGGUGUGCCUAAGACAAAAGGGUUAAUUGAAUCUAUGUCACUCGAUCUCUAUUUCACCGGUUGAAAAUAUGCCAUUACAAAAACUUAACUUGUAGAAAUGGCACUUUAACUUUUUUAUACAUCUAACUGUGCCAUUCUAUCCACUUAAGACCAAUUACUGUUCACAAAAUACAUGUAUUUCAUCGUGUACAGCAAUACCUGCCUCCACUUUUUCUAGGGUUUGUUAGGGUCAGGAUAGAGGAGCGCGAGGGGGACAAUAAGAGGAAGAGGAAUAGAACUGUUUGACUUGGUAUGGAAAAAAACUGUUCGUAUAAAUCUAUGUAUAUACGUAUUUAAACAGUAUACAUGAUGGUAUUGGACAAAAUGGCAUGGUCAGAGAUAUAAGAAAGUUAGAGUGGUAUUUCUCCAAAUCAAGUUUUUUAAUGGCAUAUCUCCAACCGGUGAAAAUUAUAAUGGCAUAAAUCCAAUUAACCCAAGACAAAAUCGAUGGUUAAUGAACGAAGGGGAACACCGAUGGGAACAUAUUUACAGCAUGUAUAAUGCAAGGUGCUUAAAUGGGUGCUGCGAAAAUUAACCAAGCAUCAUCUUAAGCACCGAUGCUUAAAAAAACCGGGUUUUUUUCUGAACACCUGACUAAGCAUCUUGCAUUGGACAUGCUCUAAGAACAACUCUAGCAUUCAAUGUUUUUCGGUUCCAUUUUUACCCGGCCAGAACACAAUCCGAAAACUGACCCGGAAACGUGGUAUUCUGUAACUGUUCUGUCCGAGUCCCCCGCAAAACUACCGAAACUAAAAACGACAGUUCGUCACAUAAAAAUCGGCAGUUCGACGGCUCAUCCAAAUAGGCACGCACAUAAACCAAAUUCGAUCAGAAUUCGCACCCAUACAGACAAAAUUCGUCUGAAAUUCACACACACUGAGCAACUGAAGCGAACGGGCCGCGCGAGUAGCGGCGGCGCGGGCAGGGGCGGAGGGGCAGCACCGAGCAGAGGUGGGCGCGGGCAGGGGCGGCGCGCAGGGGCGAGCAGCGGCAUCGACGCUAUGGGCAGGGGCGGCGGCGCGGCCAUGGGCGCGAGCAGGGGCGGGCGCGGCCAUGGGGGAAGUUCCUGGAGGUUCGCGGGAGGAGGCGAAGGCAGGAUGCGGUGCGGGGGCGUGGGCGUGGGCUUGCCCCUUGCAGGCGGAGGUGACGACCAAGGGCGCUGGAUCUGGAGUUUCGCAGGGCGCAACGGCACGGGGACAGGGCCGGCGGCUUGCGCAGGGCAGGGGCAGCGCCGCGCGCACGGGGAGCAGCAGGCGGUAGCGGCCAGGGGAGGGGGCGGGAGCAGGGCCGGCGGCGGUGGCGGCCAGAGGCGAGAGGUUGAAGAUGAAGCGGAGUCGGGCGGAAAUAAAACGCGCGGGUGAACUCGAACGUAUUCUACGAGAUCGGUGAGGAACUAAAAACGGAUUCAUGUCCUGAUUGUCGAGGGAUUUUUCGCUAAAAAAAAAUUUGGGUUAGGAUUCAUUUUUUAUCUACUCGGGGUCUUUUUUCCACCGAAACCGAAAAGUUUCGGAUCGGAGUGGUAUUCAGUAUCUUCUAGAAAUGCUUUAAGGGCAUGUACAAGGACACUAAGCAAACACUUGUCACCCGUCCGUUUUUGUCCGUGGAUAAAAAGUUGCAAUCCAAUGGGACUAGCCAAACACUUUCCUUCCGUCCGUUUGUCUGCCGACAUGCCAAACCCAAGCCAAAUUUGACCUGGCUUUGGCAACCUGGACAUUGUUCGCGGACAACACCACAUCAGCAUAUUUGGUGAAGAAAAAAAAGGAAAAGGAAAAUCGGCUGCUAAUUUUUGCCUUUCUACUCGCGCGGCAACUGUGACUGGACAAUGUCGGCGGACAAGUGUGGUAUUGCCUUCUACCUCCUCCUCUCCAGCGCCCCCUCCACCUCGCCGCCGCCCGCCGUCGCCCCACCCACGCGCCACCGAUGAUGCACCGCAUGAUUUGUGCUCAUUUUGGUACUAUGUCAUUGAAAUAUUUGAACUUUGUCAUUUGAGACAUUUGGACCAUGUCAUUUUAAUUAAUUUGCACUGUACUAUUUAUUGUUGCAUUGAUAUUGUUGAAUACAUGAUUGUUUGGUAAUAGAAUUUGUUGUGAAAUAGGUGUGGACAAUCUGUAUGGCGGGCAUUUAGUUUGUGUCCAUUGGGAGAAGUGGUAAAUAAACACUUGCCAAAUGGUCCGGACGGUGGACAAACGGACAGAUGACAUGUCCAUUUAGCUAGUCACCCUUGGAGAUGCCCUAAGAGCAUCUCCAACAGGUUCCCUAAAUCCGGUUCCCUAAAACCAGUUUUAGGCAUAGGAGAGAAAAAAAGUUUUGAGAAAUUGUACUCAUCUCCAGCAGCUUUUCUAAAAGCGAUUCCCUAUAAUAUUUUCCCCAUCCCACUGACCGUGCGGUCCCAUCUGUCAGCCACCCCGAGAUUUGUUGGCAGUCUUCUUCCUCCUCGUGCCCUCCCUUCUGCUUGCUCUAGCACCCCGACCCCCCUACCUGAUAUAGGUGUGGCCCGAUCUUUCGAUGAGAUUAGUAACUCUUAAUUUGGGUAGGAGAUGACGUUGACGAUCCGACUACGGCCUAAGAAGCAGCGCCUUAGCAAUCGAUACACCAACUCCAGAGGGUUAUUGAUCACGCGGGGGCACGAUCAACCUGACCAUGAAGGUCUUUGUUCCUGCAAGCAAUCGAAAAACAAGCAAGAACAAGAUAAAUAGCAGAUACAAUCUGAAAUUGCGAGUAUACUAUAUCAAACUAAUGUCUCAACGAGACGAUAAAUUGGGGUUCUGAAAGCGGUAAAACAGGUGGUCUAACUGACACACGCGAUUACACGAAGUAGUAGCGAUGGCUAACUUUUAACUAAACAAAAUCCAAGACUCCUUAGGGGGCUCGUGGGGUAUAUAAAGGAGGAGGGAGAGAGAUUUUCGUCCACCUUGAGUAAGGAGGCCGAAAUCCAACUAUAUCUCUAACUUCCGUAACAAACUACAACUCUUUAG